AUUCUGUAUGUAAACACUUAUUCAGAAUUCAGCUUCAUUCUGCGAGGCAGGUCCCGUCGUCACACAGUGUCUCGGUACAUGCCAUAGUUAGUCUGACUCAGUAUCAAAAUAACAACCAAAAAGUAUACUCAAUGAAAGAGUCCGAAUCUUACUUAGAUACAUACAGGAGUCUGAAUCCUACUUAGAUACAUACACCAAGUUCACGUCCAAUGCCACAUCGUACCGGGCCGUGUAUACGUACAUGCCAUUGUCAGUCUGACUCAGUAUUAAAAUAACACCCAGAAAAUAUACUCAAUGAAAGAGUCUGAAUCCUACUUAGAUACAUACAGGAGGCCGAAACCUACUUGGAGGCAGGUAUCGCUGGUGCUACAAAUACACCUGUAUCUCCACGUGAUUCUUACACAAUCUCAAGUCUUCAGUUCAAUCAAAUAGAAUCAGUUUCACACGUCGCCUUCUAGAUACAUUUGGUUCAAUUAAGCUGCUAAGCUCCCAAGUCUGCUUAACAUCAGGUAUUUUCGUUGCGUAUUUUCAUAUACGACAUCCUUCAACAUCUUUUUCUUUUUGCGAAUUCUUCAACAUCUUUAUGAACACCGGUAACUGCCAUGAAAUGAAUAAGUUUAUCAUUAGCAAUUUGAAAUUUCCGAACAAAUAGUACACCAGACCGUACUUUGAGCAACAAAUUUACAAGAUUUUAUAUAUGACACAUUGAAUCAUAUUUAAACAUCAUUGUUGACAAGGAAAAAAUAGAUGCAAUUAUUGGACUAGAUUGCACACUGAACUAACAUAUACAAGUUUAAUCAAUUUUCCAUUUCUAAUAUUUCUUACACUUCCAAAACUCUCAUGCAGGCAAGCAUUUUGAUCACAUUCUCCAGAGAUGGAUGCUAAGGAAAGAAGAAGGAAACAAGACAGAGAGCGCUAUGAACAGAUGGCCAAUGAAAAAAGAGAGGAAAAACUCAAAAAAGGCCGUGAAGCCUAUCAACAAAAGAAAGAAAAAAUAUGCGCACAACAAAGGCAGAUAUAUGCAAAAAUGCAGCCGGAACAAAAGAAAGCUAGAAAAGAACAUAUCAAUGAAUUGAAACGCAACACAGCAAGCAAAGACUCCAUUGCACGGGAGAACCCUGCCUAUAUUGCAACUGAAAAAGAAGUUGGUACUUCUACCUUUCCUGAUUACAGAAAGCAUGUCACACCAGGAGAAAGGCAAACAUUGCUACACCGUCGUAACAAAGAAUUCACGACAAGACAGAGGCAUGUAUCAUCGAAACAAGAUGUAUCUAUGACGGAAACCGGCGACGAUGACACAGAACCUCUACAGCAACCAGAAGAAAUGAUUUACGGUAAUACUCUAAAUUUUACACAAUACUCGCAUUCAAAAUAAAUAUACGAAUGUUUGUAGAACUAACCAUCUUUUAUGGACAGAUAUCCCUAAUCAAUGUUUCCAAGCAUCAAAGAAGCGGAUACACCAACACAGACAUUCUACAAUGACGAUCAAAAUAAGGUGGCAUUGUGGCCAGACAUCCCGUCUUCAAUGUUUCCAGCAAUCAAAGAAGUAGAUGCACGAAUACAAACAUUAUACAAUGAUGUUCAUGGUAAGGUUAUAAAAUUUCUUAUAUAUUUUUAUGCAAUACAAAAAUUACAUAUAUAUAUAUAAAUAAUUAAUUAAUUACUACACAGGUAAGGAUGAGAUUAUAUGUGAGCAUGAUGCAACCAUGAAAGUGAAGGAAAAUGCCCUAGAGGCAAUAAUAAAGUUAUUAUUUAUUUCCUUAUAUCAUGAUAAAUGUUUAUUAUUCAUGCUAAAAUUGUAUUAACCAGAAACAUAAUACAUGUGUGAAUACAUAGACAAACAAAGUAUCACUAGUAUGCCUCUACUUGACUAGCUCGUUAAUCAAAGAUGGUUAUGUUUUCUAACCAUGAACAAUGAGUUGUUAUUUGAUUAACGGGAUCACAUCAUUAAGUGAAUGAUCUGAUUGACAUGACCCAUUCCAUUAGCUUAGCACCCGAUCGUUUAGUAUGUUGCUAUUGCUUUCUUCAUGACUUAUACAUGUUCCUAUAACUAUGAGAUUAUGCAACUCCCGUUUACCGGAGGAACACUUUGGGUGCUACCAAACGUCACAACAUAACUGGGUGAUUAUAAAGGAGUACUACAGGUGUCUCCAAAGGUACAUGUUGGGUUGGCGUAUUUCAAGAUUACGUUUUGUCACUCUGAUUGUCGGAGAGGUAUCUCUGGGCCCUCUCGGUAAUGCACAUCACUUAAGCCUUGCAAGCAUUGCAACUAAUGAGUUAGUUGCGGGAUGAUGUAUUACAGAACGAGUAAAGAGACUUGCCGGCAACGAGAUUGAACUAGGUAUUGGAAUACCGACGAUCGAAUCUCGGGCAAGUAACAUACCGAUGACAAAGGGAACGAUGUAUGUUGUUAUGCGGUCUGACCGAUAAAGAUCUUCGUAGAAUAUGUAGGAGCCAAUAUGGGCAUCCAGGUCCCGCUAUUGGUUAUUGACCGGAGACGUGUCUCGGUCAUGUCUACAUUAUUCUCGAACCCGUAGGGUCCGCAAGCUUAAGGUUACGAUGACAGUUAUAUUAUGAGUUUAUGCAUUUUGAUGUACCGAAGUUUUUUCGGAGCCCCGGAUGUGAUCACGGACAUGACGAGGAGUCUCGAAAUGGUCGAGACAUAAAGAUUGAUAUAUUGGAAGCCUAUGUUUGGAUAUCGGAAGUGUUCCGGGUGAAAUCGAGAUUUUACCGGAGUACCGGGAGGUUACCGGAACCCCCCGGGAGCUAGAUGGGCCAUAGUGGGACUUAGUGGAAAAGAGAAGGGGCUGCCCAAAGUGGGAUGCGCGCCCCUCCCUUCCCUUGGUCCGAAUAGGACAAGGAGAGGGGGCCGGCCACCGUCUCUCUCUUCCCCCCUCCGCGAAUCCUAUUCCAACUAGGAUUGGGGGGGGGGGAAUCCUACUCCCAGAGGGAGUAGGACUCUCCUGGCGCGCCUCUCCUAGGCCGGCCGCACCCCCCUUUAGUCCUUUAUAUACGGAGGCAGGGGCACCCCAGAAACACACAAGUUGAUCCACGUGAUCUUUUCCUUAGCCGUGUGCGGCGCCCCCAGCCACCAUAGUCCUCGAUAAUAUUGUAGCGGAGUUUAGGCGAAGCCCUACUGCAGUAGUACAUCAAGAUCGUCACCACGCCGUCGUGCUGGCGGAACUCUUCCCCGACACUUUGCUGGAUCGGAGUCCGGGGAUCGUCAUCGAGCUGAACGUGUGCUAAAACUCGGAGGUGCCGUAGUUUCGGUGCUUGAUCGGUCGGGCCAUGAAGACGUACGACUACAUCAACCAAACGCUUCCAUUGUCGAUCUACUAGGUAUGUAGAUCACACUCCCCCCUCUUGUUGCUAUGCAUCACAUGAUCUUGCGUGUGCGUAGGAAUUUUUUUGAAAUUACUACGUUCCCCUACAGUGGCAUCCGAGCCUAGGUUUUAUAUGUUGAUGUUAUAUGCACGAGUAGAACACAAGUGAGUUGUGGGCGAUAUAAGUCAUACUGCUUACCAGCAUGUCAUACUUUGGUUCGGCGGUAUUGUUGGAUGAAGCGGCCCAGACCGACAUUACGCGUACGCUUACGCAAGACCGGUUCUCCCGACGUGCUUUGCACAGAGGUGGCUUGUGGGUGACAGUUUCUCCAACUUUAGUUGAACUGAGUGUGGCUACGCCCGGUCCUUGCGAAAGUUAAAACAGCACCAACUUGACAAACUAUCAUUGUGGUUUUGAUGCGUAGGUAAGAUUGGUUCUUGCUUAAGCCCGUAGUAGCCACGUAAAACUUGCAACAACAAAAUAGAGGACGUCUAACUUGUUUUUGCAGGGCAUGUUGUGAUGUGAUAUGGUCAAGACAUGAUGCUGAUUUUUAUUGUAUGAGAUGAUCAUGUUUUGUAACCGAGUUAUCGGCAACUGGCAGGAGCCAUAUGGUUGUCGCUUUAUUGUAUGCAAGCAAUCGCGAUGUAAUGCUUUACUUUAUCACUAAACGGUAGCGAUAGUCGUGGAAGCACAAGCUUGGCGAGACGACAACGACGCUACGAUGGAGAUCAAGGUGUCACGCCGGUGACGAUGGUGAUCACGAUGAUGCUUCGGAGAUGGAGAUCACAAGCACAAGAUGAUGAUGGCCAUAUCAUAUCACUUAUAUUGAUUGCAUGUGAUGUUUAUCUUUUAUGCAUCUUAUCUUGCUUUGAUUGACAGUAGCAUUAUAAGAUGAUCUCUCACUAAUUAUCAAGAAGUGUUCUUCCUGAGUAUGCACCGUUGCGAAAGUUCUUCGUGCUGAGACACCACGUGAUGAUAGGGUGUGAUAGGUUCUACGUUCAAAUACAACGGGUGCAAAACAGUUGCACACGCGGAAUACUCAGGUUAUACUUGACGAGCCAAGCAUAUACAGAUAUGGCCUCGGAACACGGAGACCGAAAGGUCGAGCGUGAAUCAUAUAGUAGAUAUGAUCAACAUAAUGAUGUUCACCAAUGAAACUACUCCAUCUCACGUGAUGAUCGGACAUGGUUUAGUUGAUUUGGAUCACGUAAUCACUUAGAGGAUUAGAGGGAUGUCUAUCUAAGUGGGAGUUCUUUAAGUAAAUUAACUGAACUUAAAUUUAUCAUGAAACUUAGUACCUGAUAAGUAUCUUGCUUGUUUAUGCUUGUUUGUAGAUAGAUGGCUCGUGCUGUUGUUCCGUUGAAUUUUAAUGCGUUCCUUGAGAAAGCAAAGUUGAAAGAUGAUGGUAGCAAUUACACGGACUGGGUCCGUAACUUGAGGAUUACCCUCAUUGCUGCACAGAAGAAUUACGUCCUGGAAGCACCGCUGGGUGCCAGGCCUGCUGCAGGAGCAACGCCGGAUGUUAUGAACGUCUGGCAGAGCAAAGCUUAUGACUACUCGAUAGUUCAGUGUGCCAAGCUUUACGGCUUAGAAUCGGGACUUCAACGACGUUUUGAACGUCAUGGAGCAUAUGAGAUGUUCCAGGAGUUGAAGUUAAUAUUUCAAGCAAAUGCCCGGAUUGAGAGAUAUGAAGUCUCCAAUAAGUUCUAUAGCUGCAAGAUGGAGGAGAACAGUUCUGUUAGUGAGCAUAUACUCAAAAUGUCUGGGUAUAAUAAUCACUUGAUUCAAUUGGGAGUUAAUCUUCCAGAUGAUUGCGUCAUUGACAGAAUUCUCCAAUCACUGCCACCAAGCUACAAGAGCUUCGUGAUGAACUAUAAUAUGCAAGGGAUGAAUAAUACUAUUCCCGAGCUCUUCGCAAUGCUGAAAGCUGCGGAGGUAGAAAUCAAGAAGGAGCAUCAAGUGUUGAUGGUCAACAAGACCACUAGUUUCAAGAAAAAGGGCAAAGGAAAGAAGAAGGGGAACUUCAAAAAGAACGGCAAGCAAGUUGCUACUCAAGAGAAGAAACUCAAACCUGGACCUAAGCCUGAAACUGAGUGCUUCUAUUGCAAGCAGACUGGUCACUGGAAGCGGAACUGCCCCAAGUAUUUGGCGGAUAAGAAGGAUGGCAAGGUGAACAAAGGUAUAUGUGAUAUACAUGUUAUUGAUGUGUACCUUACUAAUGCUCGCAGUAGCACCUGGGUAUUUGAUACUGGUUCUAUUGCUAAUAUUUGCAACUCGAAACAGGGACUACGGAUUAAGCGAAGAUUGGCUAAGGACGAGGUGACGAUGCGCGUGGGAAACGGUUCCAAAGUCGAUGUGAUCGCAGUCGGCACGCUACCUCUACAUCUACCUUCGGGAUUAAUAUUAGACCUAAAUAAUUGUUAUUUGGUGACAGCGUUAAGCAUGAACAUUAUUUCUGGAUCUUGUUUGAUGCGAGACGGUUAUUCAUUUAAAUCAGAGAAUAAUGGUUGUUCUAUUUAUAUGAGUAAUAUCUUUUAUGGUCAUGCACCCUUGAAGAGUGGUCUAUUCUUGUUGAAUCUCGAUAGUAGUAACACACAUAUUCAUAAUGUUGAAGCCAAAAGAUGCAGAGUUGAUAAUGAUAGUGCAACUUAUUUGUGGCACUGCCGUUUAGGUCAUAUCGGUGUAAAGCGCAUGAAGAAACUCCAUACUGAUGGACUUUUGGAACCACUUGAUUAUGAAUCACUUGGUACUUGCGAACCGUGCCUCAUGGGCAAGAUGACUAAAAUGCCGUUCUCCGGUACUAUGGAGAGAGCAACAGAUUUGUUGGAAAUCAUACAUACAGAUGUAUGUGGUCCGAUGAAUAUUGAGGCUCGUGGCGGAUAUCGUUAUUUUCUCACCUUCACAGAUGAUUUAAGCAGAUAUGGGUAUAUCUACUUAAUGAAACAUAAGUCUGAAACGUUUGAAAAGUUCAAGGAAUUUCAGAGUGAAGUUGAAAAUCAUCGUAACAAGAAAAUAAAGUUUCUACGAUCUGAUUAUGGAGGAGAAUAUUUGAGUUACGAGUUUGGUGUACAUUUGAAAAAUUGUGGAAUAGUUUCGCAACUCACGCCACCCGGAACACCACAGCGUAAUGGUGUGUCCGAACGUCGUAAUCGUACUUUACUAGAUAUGGUGCGAUCUAUGAUGUCUCUUACUGAUUUACCGCUAUCGUUUUGGGGGUACGCUCUAGAGACGGCCGCAUUCACGUUAAAUACGGCACCAUCAAAAUCCGUUGAGACGACGCCUUAUGAACUGUGGUUUGGCAAGAAACCAAAGUUGUCGUUUCUGAAAGUUUGGGGCUGCGAUGCUUAUGUGAAAAAGCUUCAACCUGAUAAGCUCGAACCCAAAUCGGAGAAAUGUGUCUUCAUAGGAUAUCCAAAGGAGACUAUUGGAUACACCUUCUAUCACAUAUCCAAAGGCAAGACUUUUGUUGCUAACUUUGGAAACUUUCUAGAGAAGGAGUUUCUCUCGAAAGAAGUGAGUGGGAGGAAAGUAGAACUUGACGAGGUAACUGUACCUACUCCCUUACUGGAAAGUAGUACAUCAUAGAAAACUGUUUCUGUGACACCUACACCAGUUAGUGAGGAAGCUAAUGAUGAUGAUCAUGAAACUUCAGAACAAGAUACUACUGAACCUCGUAGAUCAACCAGAGUAAGAUCCGCACUAGAGUGGUAUGGUAAUCCCGUUCUGGAAGUCAUGCUACUAGAUCAUGAUGAACCUACGAACUAUGAAGAAGCGAUGGUGAGCCCAGAUUCCGCAAAGUGGCUUGAAGCCAUGAAAUCUGAGAUGGGAUCCAUGUAUGAGAACAAAGUAUGGACUUUGGUUGACUUGCCCGAUGAUCGGCGAGCAAUUGAAAAUAAAUGGAUCUUCAAGAAGGAGACUGACGCUGACGGUAAUAUUACUGUCUACAAAGCUCGACUUGUCGCAAAAGGUUUUCGGCAAGUUCAAGGGAUUGACUACGAUGAGACCUUCUCACCCGUAGCGAUGCUUAAGUCUGUCCGAAUCAUAUUAGCAAUUGCCGCAUUUUAUGAUUAUGAAAUUUGGCAGAUGGAUGUCAAAACUGCAUUCCUGAAUGGAUUUCUGGAAGAAGAGUUGCAUAUGAUGCAACCAGAAGGUUUUGUCGAUCCAAAGGGAGCUAACAAAGUGUGCAAGCUCCAGCGAUCCAUUUAUGGACUGGUGCAAGCCUCUCGGAGUUGGAAUAAACGUUUUGAUAGUGUGAUCAAAGCAUAUGGUUUUAUACAGACUUUUGGAGAAGCCUGUAUUUACAAGAAAGUGAGUGGGAGAUCUAUAGCAUUUCUGAUAUUAUAUGUGGAUGACAUAUUACUAAUUGGAAAUGAUGUAGAAUUUCUGGAUAGCAUAAAGGGAUACUUAUAUAAGAGUUUUUCAAUGAAAGACCUCGGUGAAGCUGCUUACAUAUUAGGCAUUAAGAUCUAUAGAGAUAGAUCAAGACGCUUAAUUGGACUUUCACAAACCACAUACCUUGACAAAGUUUUGAAGAAGUUCAAAAUGGAUCAAGCAAAGAAAGGGUUCUUGCCUGUGUUACAAGGUGUGAAGUUGAGUAAGACUCAAUGCCCAACCACUGCAGAAGAUAGAGAGAAUAUGAAAGAUGUUCCCUAUGCAUCAGCCGUAGGAUCUAUCAUGUAUGCAAUGCUGUGUACCAGACCUGAUGUGUGCCUUGCUAUAAGUCUAGCAGGGAGGUACCAAAGUAAUCCAGGAGUGGAUCACUGGACAACGGUCAAGAACAUCCUGAAAUACUUGAAAAGGACUAAGGAUAUGCUUCUCGUAUAUGGAGGUGACAAAGAGAUCAUCGUAAAAGGUUACAUUGAUGCAAGCUUUGACACUGAUCCGGACGAUUCUAAAUCGCAAACCGGAUACGUGUUUACAUUAAACGAUGGGGCUGUAAGUUGGUGCAGUUCUAAACAAAGCGUUGUAGCGGGAUCUACAUGUGAAGCGGAGUACAUGGCUACUUCGGAAGCAGCAAAUGAAGGAGUCUGGAUGAAGGAGUUCAUAUCCGAUCUAGGUGUUAUACCUAGUGCAUCAGGUCCAAUGAAAAUCUUUUGUGACAAUACUGGUGCAAUUGCCUUGGCAAAGGAAUCCAGAUUUCACAAGAGAACCAAGCACAUCAAGAGACGCUUCAAUCCCAUCCGGGAUCUAGUCCAGGUGGGAGACAUAGAGAUUUGCAAGAUACAUACGGAUUUGAAUGUUGCAGACCCGUUGACUAAGCCUCUUCCACGAGCAAAACAUGAUCAGCACCAAGGCUCCAUGGGUGUGAGAAUCAUUACUGUGUAAUCUAGAUUAUUGACUCUAGUGCAAGUGGGAGACUGAAGGAAAUAUGCCCUAGAGGCAAUAAUAAAGUUAUUAUUUAUUUCCUUAUAUCAUGAUAAAUGUUUAUUAUUCAUGCUAAAAUUGUAUUAACCGGAAACAUAAUACAUGUGUGAAUACAUAGACAAACAAAGUAUCACUAGUAUGCCUCUACUUGACUAGCUCGUUAAUCAAAGAUGGUUAUGUUUCCUAACCAUGAACAAUGAGUUGUUAUUUGAUUAACGGGAUCACAUCAUUAAGUGAAUGAUCUGAUUGACAUGACCCAUUCCAUUAGCUUAGCACCCGAUCGUUUAGUAUGUUGCUAUUGCUUUCUUCAUGACUUAUACAUGUUCCUAUAACUAUGAGAUUAUGCAACUCCCGUUUACCGGAGGAACACUUUGGGUGCUACCAAACGUCACAACGUAACUGGGUGAUUAAAAAGGAGUACUACAGGUGUCUCCAAAGGUACAUGUUGGGUUGGCAUAUUUCGAGAUUACGUUUUGUCACUCCGAUUGUCGGAGAGGUAUCUCUGGGCCCUCUCGGUAAUGCACAUCACUUAAGCCUUGCAAGCAUUGCAACUAAUGAGUUAGUUGUGGGAUGAUGUAUUACAGAACGAGUAAAGAGACUUGACGGCAACGAGAUUGAACUAGGUAUUGGAAUACCGACGAUCGAAUCUCGGGCAAGUAACAUACCGAUGACAAAGGGAACGACGUAUGUUGUUAUGCGGUCUGACCAAUAAAGAUCUUCGUAGAAUAUGUAGGAGCCAAUAUGGGCAUCCAGGUCCCGCUAUUGGUUAUUGACCGGAGACGUGUCUCAGUCAUGUCUACAUUGUUCUCGAACCUGUAGGGUCCGCACGCUUAAGGUUACGAUGACAGUUAUAUUAUGAGUUUAUGCAUUUUGAUGUACCGAAGUUUGUUCGGAGUCCCGGAUGUGAUCACGGACAUGACGAGGAGUCUCGAAAUGGUCGAGACAUAAAGAUUUAUAUAUUGGAAGCCUAUGUUUGGAUAUCGGAAGUGUUCCGGGUGAAAUCGAGAUUUUACCGGAGUACCGGGAGGUUACCGGAACCCCCCGGGAGCUAGAUGGGCCAUAGUGGGCCUUAGUGAAAAAGAGAAGGGGCUGCCCAAAGUGGGCUGCGCCCCCCUCCCCUCCCUUGGUCCGAAUAGGACAACGAGAGGGGGCCGGCCACCCUCUCUCUCUUCCCCCCUCCGCGAAUCCUAUUCCAACUAGGAUUGGGGGGGGGGGAAUCCUACUCCCAGAGGGAGUAGGACUCUCCUGGCGCGCCUCUCCUAGGCCGGCCGCACCCCCCCUUUAGUCCUUUAUAUACGGAGGCAGGGGCACCCCAGAAACACACAAGUUGAUCCACGUGAUCUUUUCCUUAGCCGUGUGCGGCGCCCCCAGCCACCAUAGUCCUUGAUAAUAUUGUAGCGGAGUUUAGGCGAAGCCCUGCUGCAGUAGUACAACAAGAUCGUCACCACGCCGUCGUGCUUGCGGAACUCUUCCCCGACACUUUGCUGGAUCGGAGUCCGGGGAUCGUCAUCGAGCUGAACGUGUGCUAAAACUCGGAGGUGCUGUAGUUUCGGUGCUUGAUCGGUCGGGCCAUGAAGACGUAUGACUACAUCAACCAAACACUUCCGUUGUCGAUCUACUAGGUAUGUAGAUCACACUCCCCCCUCUCGUUGCUAUGCAUCACAUGAUCUUGCGUGUGCGUAGGAUUUUUUUUGAAAUUACUACGUUCCCCUGCAGAAAGAAGUAGAUACACCAACACAAUCAAUCAAUAAUGACGAUCAAGGUGAGGUCAUCAAUUCCAUAUAUGUUCUUAUGAAAUCCAAAUAAAUAUAUUAUACAAUAGAAAAUUGCAACACAGGUAAUAAUGAAGUCAUAUUUGAAGAGGACAUAAACGAGGAUGAAUACAUGUUCUCUGGUCAAGGUAUGCUUAAUAGAAUUUAAAUAUAUUUUAAUCAUUAUAUUGCUUCUGUACUAACUUUUGCUACAAACCAAACUAGAAUGGGACAGAGAAGUGGAAAUUGAAAUCAAAGAAGGCGAGGAAAUACACAACCCUAAUCCUUAUGAUUUCGUCUAUAGCAACAUACCCAAAAAAACACACGUGCUCAAAACGGAAGGAAAUUGCAGAUUCUGCCAUGCAAAAAAUUCAAGUAUGAAACUAAGGGAUUAUGCUGCAGAAAAGGACAGAUAAGACUAGCCAAUGCAGAUACACCACCUGAACUCAUAAGACUUUGGAUAAGCAACGACUCUGAUGCAAGACAUUUUCGGAACAAUAUAAGAUUUUUCAAUGGCCACUUCUCGUUUACUACUCUAUAUUGCCAUCUUGACAGAGACACAACCGACAUGCGAAAUUCUGGUGGUAUUUACACCUUUCGAGCACAUGGUCAGAUCUAUCACAGCAUACACUCAUUUGGUAAUAGUCGACCAGAUCCAAAGCAUGUGGAGCUAUACUUCUACGACAAUGAUCCAAGCUUAGAGCAUCGGUACUGCCGUUGCCGCGAGGAAAUGUACGAGCAAGACAAGCAUGUGAUCGGGAUAAUAACCAACAUCCUACGGGAUAACCCAUACUCUCAACAAUUUAGGAGUUUGGGACGAGCCCAAAACCUUGAGGACUACAGACUCGUCUUAAACCCGGACCAAAGAUUGGACCAGAGAACAUACAACGCGCCAAUAAAUUCGGAGGUAGCUGCAGUGUGGAUUGAAGGAAAUAAAAGAAGAGACACUUAUGACAGGAAUGUAAUACUACAUGGAAACUACAAUGAAAAAGAGCACAUUCGAUCAUAUUACGGGUGCUAUGAUCCGUUGUCGUACCCUCUAUUCUUUCCAAGAGCUGAGCUGGGUUGGCAUAGGAAAAUCCCAAAGAGGAAUACAAAAAAGGAAGAUAUUGGUGCUGAUAAUAUCAGUAAUGAUGAUGACCUAGGUAAAAUUUCAUAUACUAUUAUAUUCAAUAUUCAAUUUAACUAACUUUUUUAUGUCGCAAUAUUUGCACAGAUUCUGCCAACGGCCUGUGGGUAACCAUGAAAGAAUACUACUGGUAUAAAUUCCAUACACGACCAAGCAUAUUCAACCAAUAUUGCAGGGCGGACGGAUUUUCCAGCAGUUUGUUGUAGAUACAUACAUAAAGAUUGAAAGCUCCAGACUGGAUUACAUGUGGCAUCAUCAAAACAAAAUAAGGGCGGAUCUAUACCAAGGCCUUCUAGACAUCAUUCAAGCUAGAGAACAGAAUGGAGAUGCAAUCGGAAAACGGAGAGUACUUGCAUCAUCAUUUAUUGGAGGGCCACGCGAUAAAAUUCGUCCGUAUCUAGAUUCUAUGGCUUUAGUUAGAAAAUAUGGAAAACCAGACGUAUUACUCACAAUGACAUGCAACCCCAACUGGAAGGGAUCACACGUGAACUACAGUUUGGACAAACACCACAAGAUCGCCCAGACAUUAUCGUUUGUGUUUUCAAGGCGAAGCUCAAAGAAAUGAAGAAGCAACUAUUUGAGAAGGCCAUUCUUGGAAAGGUCAAGGCAUAUACAUAUGUCAUAGAGUUCCAAAAGAGGGGAUUACCCUGACGGUGUCCUGGACUAGGGGGUACUGUAACACCCCGGAUGUAACUUUCCCAAUUUGUACUCCAACUCUUGCCGUUUCCGGCGUUAACUUAUUUUAUUUUCUCGGGUUCGGGUCUUUGUCUCCGUGUGUUGUUGUCGUUGUCAUGCAUCUCAUAUCAUGUCAUCAUGUGCAUUUCAUUUGCAUACGUGCUCGUCUCAUGCAUUCGAGCAUUUUCCCCGUUGUCCGUUUUGCAUUCCGGCGCUUCAUUCUCCUCCGAUGGUCAUUUCUAGCUUUCUUUCGUGUGUGGGGAUUAAACAUUUCCGGAUUGGACCGAGACUUGCCAAGCUGCCUUGGUUUACUACCGGUAGACCGCCUGUCAAGUUUCGUAUCAUUUGGACUUCGUUUGAUACUCCAACGAUUAACCGAGUGACCGAAAAGGCCUCGUGUGUGUUGCAGCCCAACACCCCUCCAAUUUGGAACAAAACCCACCUAAACCCUUUCUAUCAUCUAGAGCGUUCGAUCACGAUCGCGUGGCUGAAAACUGCACCUCAUUUGAACUCUCCUAGCUCCCUCUAGGCCUAUAUAAAGGUCUCUCCCCGAAAAUCCGGGUCUUCCCCCGUCCUAACCCUAAAAAUUCCGUCUCUGCCGCCGCCGGACGUGUCCGGACGGAGCCGGACACCGUCCGACCCAGCCGCCACCGCCACGUGUCGCCCCGGGAUUCACCGCCNNNNNNNNNNNNNNNNNNNNNNNNNNNNNNNNNNNNNNNNNNNNNNNNNNNNNNNNNNNNNNNNNNNNNNNNNNNNNNNNNNNNNNNNNNNNNNNNNNNNNNNNNNNNNNNNNNNNNNNNNNNNNNNNNNNNNNNNNNNNNNNNNNNNNNNNNNNNNNNNNNNNNNNNNNNNNNNNNNNNNNNNNNNNNNNNNNNNNNNNNNNNNNNNNNNNNNNNNNNNNNNNNNNNNNNNNNNNNNNNNNNNNNNNNNNNNNNNNNNNNNNNNNNNNNNNNNNNNNNNNNNNNNNNNNNNNNNNNNNNNNNNNNNNNNNNNNNNNNNNNNNNNNNNNNNNNNNNNNNNNNNNNNNNNNNNNNNNNNNNNNNNNNNNNNNNNNNNNNNNNNNNNNNNNNNNNNNNNNNNNNNNNNNNNNNNNNNNNNNNNNNNNNNNNNNNNNNNNNNNNNNNNNNNNNNNNNNNNNNNNNNNNNNNNNNNNCUCCCCGACGCCGCGGCCGCGCCGCCCUUGCCUCCCCGACGCCGCGCCCGCCGUCCCGUGCUCCGGCGAGAGCAACACCGGCGAGCCCCUCGACCUCCUACGACCGGCGAGCCCGCCAAGACCGGCCACCACCUCCGACGAACCUCGAACAUUGCGCCCCAGUGAAUAGUACCCGGCGAGAUCUAGAUCCAGAUCCGGUUGAUUUUCUCCCGAAACCCUAGCUCAUGUGCCCAUGUUCGUCGUGCCGUAACUUUGCAUCCGCAGCUUCGAUUUAGGCAUAUAGCAUAUCAAAAUGUUCAUCUCAGAGAGUAUAUCAUUUCAUUCCAUUGCAUCAUUUUCAUUUGAGUUCAUCUUGAUGCCCGAAAUGCUGUUAGAAGAGGGCUAUUUGAGAUAAUUGUCAGAUCUGCUACUCCAUUUAGGUUUUUGUCAUUUUUGCCAUGAUUAAUGUGUGCUUGAUAUGCCCUGAUGUUCUACAUAUGUUUUGUUAAGGGUUUUAUCAUCUUUCCAGAGGUGCAACCCAUGUAUUUUUGUGAUGUGUGUGGUGACUAGCACAAGCUUGCAAAGUGGUGCACUUGGUAAUUUUGUUUUUAGGGACUUAGCAAUUCCACUAAGUCCUUGAUCUAUUUAUCUCAUGAUGCCAUAUGUUCAUGUUGUUUCCUAGUGAUCCGUGCCUCUUUUGAGGAUGAUCAGUAAGGAUGUUUUGUUAUUCUUGCAGUGCUCUAUCCAUCCAUGUCUUUAUUUGCAAUUAUGGAGCACGCUAGCUUGAGUCAAUCGAGCUCUACUUUUGGUACUUUGUGAAUCUGGGCAGAUUGUCAACUUGUUUGCAAUUUUGCCGAUGAUGUUGUAGUUGAUCCGUGCAUGCUAUGUUAUUGGUCUUACAUUGUCUAGCUUUCAUUUUGUGUAUUCUUGAUGGGUAUAUGCUUGUCUUGUCAUAACUUGCACCGUAGUGAGUGCAUCGAGCUCGUGAACAUGCCUACUUGAGUUAUAUUUCAGUAUGUGCCAGUUUUCACUAAGUCUGAAAACUGAUUAUGUUUUUGCUAUGUUCACAUGCUUGCAAUUGUAUUUUCCGAUCCCUUUUGGCUCAAGGUCACUAAGGGACUUUUGUUAAGCUCUUCGAGUAGCUCCAUGCCAUGCUUUACUUUGCCAUGUUCAGGUCCUGUAGCAUGUAGUUUUGUUGCUCCGAAGAGAGCUACCUGAUCUGAAAUUCCAGACAAGUGUUAAUUUCACUAAGUCUGAGAUCUGUUUGUCAUAUGCAUUUUUGCCAUGCUUGUUUGAACCUGUUAAUGGAUGAUUUGGCCGUAGCUCAGUGCUAGACUUUUGUUAAGCAUUUUGAAUGCAUCCCUGCCAUGUAUUUUGUGGUCAUGUUUGGGUGUUGUAGCAUGUUCAUCUCAUUGCAUUUAGGUGGCUACUUGUUGUAAAUCGCAGACCGGUGUCAUAUUUGAAUCGCUUGCCAUUUCCAAACCGUAACUCCGAUUCCGGCGAUCUUUAUAUCGUUUUCAAGCGAUUUCAUCUCAUCUUUCCAGUGGAAUACUUGGAUUUCCAAGUUGAUGCCAGGUUCUUGCAUUUCCUGUCAUAUCUUGCAUAUGCAUCCUGCAUCGCAUCCCGCAUAGCAUAUCAUCAUUGCAUCGUCUUGUUUGAUCCUUGCACGUGGUUGAUUGUGUCCUUGUUGCUUGUUUGUCUUGUUUGGGUAGAGCCGGGAGACGAGUUCGCUAACGAGGAGCCCGUUGAGUUUGCUUUCGAGGAUCCAGUCAACUCUGACAACUGUGCAGGCAAGAUGAUCAUACCCUCGAAAUCACUACUAUCUUUGCUAUGCUAGUUUGCUCGCUCUUUUGCUAUUCCAAUGCUACGAUGCCUACCUUUUUCUUUCAAGCCUCCCAAAUUGCCAUGUCAAACCUCUAACCCACCAUGUCCUAGCAAACCGUUGAUUGGCUAUGUUACCGCUUUGCUCAGCCCCUCUUAUAGUGUUGCUAGUUGCAGGUGAAGAUUGGAGGUCGUUCCUUGUUGGAACAUUUAUUUACUUGUUGGGAUAUCAUUAUAUUAUCUUGUUAUCUUAAUGCAUCUAUAUACUUGGUAAAGGGUGAAAGGCUCGGCCUCUCGCCUGGUGUUUUGUUCCACUCUUGCCGCCCUAGUUUCCGUCAUAUCGGUGUUAUGUUCCCGGAUUUUGCGUUCCUUACGCGGUUGGGUUAUAAUGGGAACCCCUUGAUAGUUCGCCUUGAUUAAAGCUUCUCCAGCAAUGCCCAACCUUGGUUUUACCAUUUGCCACCUAGCCUCUUUUCCCUUGGGUUUCCGGAGCCCGAAGGUCAUCUUAUUUUAAACCCCCCCGGGCCAGUGCUCCUUUGAGUGUUGGUCCAAACUAGAGUCCUGUGCAGCGCCCCCUCGGGGAUACUCGAGGUUUGGUUUUAGUUGUAUGGAGUGCUCAUCUGAUGUGCCCUGAGAAAGAGACAUGUGCAGCUCCUAUCGGGAUUUGUCGGCACAUUCGGGCGGUGUUGCUGGUCUUGUUUUAACCUGUCGAAGUGUCUUGAAGAACCGAGAUACCGAGUCUGAUCGGAACGUCUUGGGAGGAGGUCUAUUCCUUCGUUGACUAUGAGAGCUUGUCAUGGGCUAAGUUGGGACUCCCCUGCAGGGAUUUGAACUUUUGAAAGUCGUGCCCGCGGUUAUGGGCAGAUGGGAAUUUGUUAAUGUCUGGUUGUAGAUAACUUGAACCUUAAUUUAAUUAAAAUGAAUCAACUGAGUGUGUUACCGUGAUGGCCUCUUCUCGGCGGAGUCCGGGAAGUGGACACAGUGUUGGAGUAAUGUUUGCGCAGGUUGUUCUCUAGUUUCUCGCUCGCGCUUUGCCUCCUCUUCUCGCUCUCUUUUGCGAAUAAGUUAGCCACCAUAUUUGCUAGUCGCUUGCUGCAGCUCCUCAUAUAUUUACCUUGCCUUACCUAUAAGCUUAAAUAGUCUUGAUCGCGAGGGUGCGAGAUUGCCGAGUCCCUGUGGCUCACAGAUUACUAUUACACCAGAUGCAGGGCCUGAUGAUUCUGCUCCAGGUGACGCGCUUGAGCUCAAGUGGGAGUUCGACGAAGACUCUCAACAUUACUAUGUUUCCUUUCCUGAUGAUCAGUAGUGGUGCCCAGUUGGGGGUGAACGGGACCGUUGUCGCAUGUUGGGUUCUCUUUUAUUUUGGCGCCGUAGUCGGGCCAUGAGUGUUUGGAUGAUGUAAUGUUAUUUAUGUACUUGAUUGACGUGGCGAGUGUAAGCCAACUAUGUUAUCUCCCCUUUAUUAUUCAUAUUACAUGGGAUGUUGUGAAGAUUGCCUAACUUACGACAUAUGCCUUAAAUGCGUUUAUGUCUCUAAGUCGUGCCUCGAUACGUUGGAGCUAUAGUCGCAUCGAGGGUGUUACAGGUACUCACCACGUCAUCUCCCGACUAGUGGGUCAGGCCGAGGACCUUCAUGGUGGUUCACUAUUGGGCCAGUUCGGACAACCCAUGCCGUAUACAAGGGAGAUCCCACAAAGACUUGGCGCCCAAGACGAGGACUCUCCUAAACCCUAGGCCUCUGGUGUGUUAUAUAAACCGAGGCCAGGCUAGUCAAUAGACAUCUCAUAUUCAUUACUACAAUCUCGUGGUAGAUACUUGUAUUAUGUACUAUCCCCAUAUGAAUACAAUUAAAAGUUGGACGUAAGGUUUUAGCUUCAUCAAGAGGGCCCGAACCUGGGUAAAACCCCAUGCCUGUGUUACCAUCGCUCCAAGACGCCUAGCUUAGGACCCUUAGUACGGGAUACGCCGAAUAUAGAACCGACAUUGAUGCUUUCACUGAGAGCCUGCUAGGCGUCGUCACGGGUCGAUGGCAUAAACCAGGUGUUAUGAUUUUAAUUCAAUCUAUUCCGCGUAUAUCAGAUUUCUUUUUAUUGUUUGUGGUCUUGCACUAUGUUUGUUUACAUACCAGUUUUGACCUCGAACGCCGCCGGGCAAUCGGAAUAUGCGUCACGCAGCGGCCGCCCGGGCUCCUUGAAAAUCAGGCAGACGUGGUACAUCGCAGAAGGAAAAAUCAAGACAUAUCAAAAAGCUGCUCCGAGGAGAAGCGACGGCCUGGCACUAAUUGCCAGAUCAAUCUAAUCAUGGGGCAGCCCACUAGGACUACUAGUUGUGGCACAUCAAUCGUUUGAUUGAUGCAAUCGUGCUUGUCUAAUCUGACUAGCCCUCACACUGAAGCUCCAGAGCACUUUGAUGUAGUUUUUUUAUUUUCCCUAGCUUUAGCCGGAGUCAGAUGCAUCCAUAAAGGUCAACUAGCAGAUGAUCUUGCCUAACGUAUGCCGCGCUGGGUCCUGAGGAAUAAAUGCAUGGGUCGGGCAAACACAUGCAAAGGUGAAGACACUCCGGCCAUCCAGGCAUCUGACGACCGCCGUAUCUGUAACCGAAUCUGUCCUAUAAAAAAUAUGCCAUCACCCCUUCGUCUUCAUUGACCUAGGCGCCAGGCUAUGUUUCUUUUAUCUACUUUGUGUAAACUUAAUUAUGCAAAGAAUUUUUUUCAACUAUUAUUAUUUCUUUGUGCAUUAUUCUAUGUGUGCAGGUAAUCAACUUCGACUGCAUCAUGCGGUCAACUCUGUGGGCCGACAUCGUCGUCCUGCCUGCAUCGAUCAAGUUGCUCCGUCGCCUCAGUGCGCGUCCCUGUGUCAGCAUGUCCGCGGCCAUUCUAUCGGUACGACCUCGGCACAAUUGACAUACACUGCGCAUUACCUGGCGCAAUGACGCACAAGAGAAUUAGGCUUGGCGCAACCACAAGGAGAUUUGACUUUCUUUUUUCCAUUCCUCCUCUAUAUUAUUUAAUUAAGCAGGUAAUCGACUUCGACUACGUCACACGGUCACUUCAGCAAGCCGACGAUGUCGUCCCAAUCGGCAUAAAUCGGCUCGCGUGAUCACCUUGUCGGUCGAAUUGCCAUACCGACAUGUUCUGUUGCCUCAGGGACUUUGACAUCACUAAGAGAGCUCUACCUCAUUGAGUGUUCGGCGCACGGGUCAUAUUUCUUUUAUUACUCACUUUGCAUAAAUUAUUAAUCAUGCAACUUUUUUAUUAUUACUUCUGCCUUGCACUAUUUUAUGUGUGCAGAUAAUUGAUUUUUGCUGCGUCACGCAGUCACCUCGGCGUGCGGAGUCGUCCUCUCGCCUCUAUCAACCAAAUUCCACUAUUACCAUGGUGUGAUACCCUGUGUUGCCAUUAUCGCGUGGUCGCUUCAUCAAACUGACGUCCACCAUGCCGACCUGUUUUGACAUGUCGACUGACGUGGGGGCUUCAUUGUCACGCUGCCGAACUACUCUGUUUCCUCAGCUGGACCGGGGGCUUCCCCUCGGAACUUUGGCACCGUCAUGCUAUCACUUUGUCAAGCCGAGCUCUUCGCUCGGGUACGUCAAGACUAGUUUGGGGGUUGGGACCUUGAGCCAAGACAAGCUCGGCCCACGUCACACCGAGCACAUUAACCAGCUAAGUCGCUUUCAUGCUCAAAAAAAAUUAAGUUUUAAAUAUAUUUUUCGGGUCGACCAAGCAUUAUACUUUUUUGACAAAAAGUCAUUUGCGAAAAACUUUCUUUGUCAAAACCUUGUUUGUUACAAACAAAUUCAAAUAAAAUACCCCGUUUAUUUGGGGGAUUCUUUUAUGAAGCCUCUCCUCUUGAAUAUGAUUAUACUUGUAUGGCUUCAUUCCUUAUUAAUGUAUUACGACACAAUAUGCACCAUGUUGACUUAUGUGUUCCGCAAGCUGGGUUGCCUUGCUCCUGUGUUUACCCCUACGUUCCCAAUUGUUCGGCUAGGGAGUAAAGGGAGCACCUCUACGAUUGUCACGAUCGGGUCAUCCGAGCUCGGACCUCAGACUGGGUGAAGUCGAAAGCUAGUGCUCUUAUUGUUUUCAAUCAUGUUCGGCACACAACUGAACUCAUGAAUACAAAAAAUCUAUUGCACAAGUCUCAUAGUAACAAUGAGCAACCGAAGAAAGGUACCAAUGGAGGUACUAUUUUCUUCGAAGAUGCUUCUUACACUUCAUCAGUAAUAUAGCAUAAGUUCCCUGAGCGCGCUUUGUCUAUUAUAGCCUUAUGGCCUGAUUGCCUGGUUAUCGGAAACACCGUCGAUAUUCUCGACAGGUGGAGUACAUAACACUUUUCGGCCCUUGUCCGAAGAGGGAGAAGCCGAUGGUCGGUUAAGACGCGUUUAAAGUUCGGAUGAACACAUAUAUGAUAUAAGUACUUCGGUACAUACAAUCAUUAUACAUAAAAUUCUUUUACCCAAAUCACUUGGGGGCUCUUAAAUUAAUAUGAGUAGUUUUGUAAUAGAUGUUUUCUUUUUAGUCAUUGCAAAAUCUUUUUCUACCACUCCUUUAUCGACUCAACUGUAUGAUCAAUAGCCGGGUAGCCUGGUUUCUCUCUAAAGCCGCUCGCGUUUAGUUCGCUAAACUGGCCUGAGAAACACUCCGCCUUCGGGAUAGGGAGGUUGAAGCCGAGGGCUGACCCACUUGAAGUCUAGAGAUCAGAUGUGUCAUGUCAAAGCAUGACGGAAGUACAAUUUUAAGACCAAUUUCUUAUUGGCACCAAAACAGCUUGAUUCAAUCUAGACGCAAAGUUUUUUACGCAUGUUUUUGGCCUUUGGGCUUAUAACAUCUUUUUACCUAUUUUAUGUUUUCCUUUCAGGAAGCAGGACAUUCUCUUGGUUGAGGUUUUUGGCAUGAAACUCUUUUCUAAAACUACAGUUCGACAUCUUUUCUGCCGAACCCCACCUCGGUAUUGUCAAAACAUACAUGACAGUUGAACUAGUUCCCGAGGAGGUACGAUCCUAGGGUCGGCCAUGUAGCCCAACCCAAUUCUAGGGGGGGGCUACUGCAUUGGCAAUCCAAUGCAGAAAAUUUAAGUGCAAUAUAGUUUUCGAGGAGAUUAUGAUCCUCGGGUUGGUCGGCCGCACCCAACCUGAGUCUCAAGGACUUUGCACACUGCUUUUUGUGUCCCGAAGUAUUUUGCCGAGCUAAGAGUUGAUCCUCAGGCCGAUUUUGCGAAUCAACCUGAGUCUCAGGGGCUACUGGGAUCAGCGGUCUUAUGUCAUCCUUUAGGUGCAUCUCGGGUUUUAGACCGAUACACACCUUGAGGGCUACUGGCUAUAUAUCUCGGCAGAGAAUAAAUUGCACCAAUCAAAAAUAUUGACAAAAAAUCGGCCCGCAGUCGGGGUGGUGCACCACCUCGGAAGCAGUCCGGCAUAAAGCUCGGGCGCUAGUGGCUGGCUCCAUAAAGGGCAUUUCCGGCAUUAAGCUCGGCUAAACUCCUUCAACUUUUUUUGAACCAAGGUGAUCUAUGGCACAUCGGACACAGUCCAGUGUUGGAGCUUGGACACAGUCCGACAUUGGAGCUUGGACACAGUCCGACGUUGGAGCUCAGAUAAAGCCCGGCGUUGGAGCUUGGACAUAGUCCAGCGUUGGAGCUCGGGUACAUUCCGACGUUAGUGCUCGGCUGCAAAAGAUACCUCGAAUGUAGUUCGGCGUUGGAGCUCGGACGCUGCCGCCCGGGAACAACUUCAAACCCAAGGUGUGGCAUAAAAAUAAAAAGGCAUUGAUAAAGGCCGCAAACUUAAAGGGGCUCCUUGGAUACCCGACGUGUAAACUCUUCGGAUGCACUUCAGUGAUGCUCAAGAUCGAAGAUGAUAAGAUUUGUUGAACUAGUUUUCAAGACCAACGACCAAAGAUGAAGAACAGUUUGGAAGAAUCGAGGAGCGUCCCCAACUUGAAGACCGGUUCAGGGGGCUACUGACGGUGUCCUAGACUAGGGGGGUACUCACCACGUCGUCUCCCGACCAGUGGGUCGGGCCGAGGACCCCCAUGGCGGUUCACUAUUGGGCCAGUUCGGACAGCCCAUGCCGUAUACAAGGGAGAUCCCACAAAGACUUGGCGCUCAAGACGAGGACUCUCCUAAACCCCAGGCCUCUGGUGUGUUAUAUAAACCGAGGCUAGGCUAAUCAAUAGACAUCUCAUAUUCAUUACUACAAUCUUGUGGUAGUUACUUGUAUUAUGUACUAUCCCCAUAUGAAUACAAUCAAAAGAAGGAUGUAGGGUUUUACCUCCAUCAAGAGGGCCCGAACCUGGGUAAAACCCCAUGUCCGUGUUACCAUCGCUCCAAGACGCCUAGCUUAGGACCCCUACUACGAGAUAUGCCGGAUAUAGAAUCGACAUAGCCCAUGCUCACUUUUUGCUCAUCAUGACUAGAAAAUACAAAUACACAUGUCCAGAACAGUAUGACCGAAUCAUCUCCGCUGAGCUCCCUAACAAGCACAAGUACCCAGAGUUAUACAAAAUGGUAAUCAAACAUAUUGUGCAUGGUCCUUGCGGUGCAUUGAAUAAAUUUUUUCCAUGCAUAAAGAAUCGUCCGUCAUGCAAGAACAAUUAUCCAAGGCCAUUUAAUGAAACUACAAUCCAAGGAAAGGACUCCUGCCCACUGUAUAGGAGACGCAAUGAUGGUCGGACUGAAACGGUAUGAAAAUGCCAACUGGAUAAUAGGUGGGUGGUUCCUUACAACCCAUAUCUUUUGCGGAUGUUCAACUGCCACAUAAAUGUUGAGAUAUGCUCGAGCAUUAAAGCCGUUAAGUACUUGUUCAAAUACAUCUAUAAGGGACAUGACCGAGCAUCUGUAUUUGUAAUUGACAAAGUGGACGAAGUCGAAAUUGACGAGAUUAAACAGUAUAGAGAUGCGCGGUGGGUGACACCUCCGGAAGCACUAUGGAGAAUAUAUGGCUUCAAAUUAAGCAAAAUACACCCACCAGUCUUGCAACUGCAGCUACAUCUUCCAAAUAUGCACAUGGUUUCAUACCAUGGCAUGGAAAAAAUAAAGAAUAUUAUCGACCGUGAUGGCACAUAAAGAUCAAUGUUGACUGCGUACUUUGAAGCAAACAACUUACAUGAGAAAGCACGAGGCAUACUAUACAGAGACUUUCCGGAAUAUUAUACUUGGCAAAGACAAGGGAAGUUUUGGCAGGAGAGGAAACGAGAUGCUGUGUUCCAGGUUGGCAGGAUGGUCUCGGCACACCCGGCUGAAGGAGAACAAUAUUAUCUUCGAGUACUCACGUUCCAGGCGCCACCAGCUAUGAAGACCUACGAAUAGUCAACAGACAAGUAAUGCCAACCUUCCAUGAAGCUGCAGAAAAACGGGGGCUCAUCGAGGCAGACAACACACUAGAUGACUGCAUGACAGAAGCAGAGUUGUUUCGAAUGCCAUCAUCACUACGAAGGCUAUUCGUGACAAUCUUGGUUUUUUUGCGAACCUAGUGACGUACAUGGCCUAUGGAACAAACACCUUGAUGCAAUGUCAGAAGACUACAACAGAAACUACAAAUGCAAGCACACAAUCGAACAGAUGGUGCUGAGAAAUAUCAGAGACAUGUUGCACUCAAUGGGAAAAGACAUAGAAUCAUUUCCUCUUCCAGAGAUCGACAAACAACAUGAGACGACUGACGACAUACCUAGGGAGAUCGUUGCAGAGACCUCCAUCGAGGUUGACCCUGAGGACAUAUCGUUGCAUAAAAACCUAAACAUCGAGCAGAGGAAGGCCUACGACGAAAUCCUAGCCACGGUUGACCGCCAAAGAGGAGGUAUAUUCUUUGUCGAUGGGCCGGGAGGCACAGGAAAAACUUUUCUUUAUAGGGCGCUCUUGGCCACACAAGGCAAGAUUGCCGUGGCAACGACCACUUCCGGUGUUGCUGCUUCCAUAAUGCCUAGAGGGAGGACCGCACACUCGAGGUUCAAGAUUCCACUAAAAAUAGAUGAUGGAGCUAUUUGUAGCUUCACAAAACAGAGUGGGACAGCAAAGCUACUCCAAGCAGCAUCACUAAUAAUCUGGGAUGAAGCAUCUAUGACAAAGAGACAGACAGUGGAGGCGCUAGACAAAAGCAUGCGGGACAUAAUGGAUAGACUAGAUCUUCCAUUUGGUGGAAAAACGAUCGUAUUUGGGGGAGAUUUUAGACAAGUGCUACCUAUUGUCUGAAAGGGAACAAGAGCCCAGAUAGUAGAUGCAUCACUACGCAGGUCGGAGCUCUGGAAUUACAUGCGUCAAUUGAAGCUUGUGCACAACAUGAGGGCUCAAACGACCCAUGGUUCGUAGAAUACCCACUACGCAUUGGAAACGGAACCGAGAAGACAAAUGAUGAUGGUGAAAUACUUCUACCUACAAGUAUAUGUGUGCCAAAUAAGACGGAUGAUACCGGCCUGGAUAGACUUAUUGACAGUAUCUACCAAACGGGAAAUGUUUACCUAAAAGAUCGAAAGUACAUCACAUCAAGAGCAAUUUUAUCCACAAGGAAUGACUGCGUAGACAAGAUCAACCUAAAUAUGAUUGAUCGCUUCCAGGGGGAGGAGAUGGUGUACCACAGCUUCGAUUCUGUAGAAGAGACCCACAUAACUACUAUCCAUCAUAAUUCCUAAACACCCUAACCCCAAAUGGACUGCCUCCACAUAUGCUGAAGCUAAAAAAAAUUGUCCAAUGAUACUACUCAGGAACAUCGACCCUGCUAAUGGGCUCUGCAACGGCACCAGACUGGUCGUACAUGGAUUUCAGAAAAAUGCAAUUGAUGCAGAGAUUGUGGUAGGCAACACUCUGGAAUGCGAGUUUUCUUGCCUCGGAUACCAUUAUGCCCAUCUGACGAUGACAUGUUCCCGUUCAGUUUCAAGAGAAAACAGUUUCCUGUCAGACUCAGUUUUGCAAUGACAAUAAACAAAUCACAAGGCCAGACAAUACCAACUGUCGUUGUCUACGUGCCUGAGCUUGUUUUCUCACAUGGUCAAUUAUAUGUCACGCUUUCUAGAGCAACCGCGACAUCGGACAUAAAGGUACUAACAUGUACACAUGAUGUGAACAAGGGGACAAAUAAAAAAUAAAUAAAGGUGACACAUACACAAAGGAGAAGAAGAAAAGGAAGAAUAGGAUCAGUACAAGCAAUACAUACACAAAGAAUAUUGUCUACACAGAAGUCUUGACCAAAUAGGUAAUGCAAUUUUUCAAUUUUGUGUUUAUAAAUUCAGUUUCAACUUAGUACAUUCAUUCAUGACCAACUUAAUAAUUUGUAUUACACAUUGAAUCUCUAAUUUUCUAACCUUAAAAUUACUUCUUGCAUUCUUCAGGACAAUCAAGCUGUCAACUUCGGAGUUAGAAUUCAGAACUACUUGAUCGUCUUGAAGGAGGAUGUCUUCAUGUUCUGAACCACUAACUUAUUCAUUGAUAUUUAUUUAUAUAAUAUGUCCAAUAAAUUAUUAAGUUUUAUUCAAAUAUUUGAUCACUUUGAUGAUCUCUAUUAUGGUUAUACAAUCUAUAUAUGUAAAUUUACCAACGAUGAGUAGCUAAGGUCAAAUUGAGACUUACCAGUCAAUAUAGAGACAUAUUUCUUGCCUUGGAGCUGAUGUUGUUGCAUUGAUUUUUCUAAACAUCGCUUUAUCUAAGUCCAAGAAACCUGAAAAAUAUCUGACACAUUGUAAGAAAAUACAUAUCAAUUUCACAUUGUAAGAAAAUAUCUGACAAUUUCAUAAUGGAUUGAAACCCUGCAUAGUGUAGCGUUGCAUAUUUUUGAGGAAAUUGUGAUGCUCUGUUUCAUCAGGAUUAAGAUGCUUGAACAUGUAAGCAGUGUACUAGCGGCCAAUAGAGAUAUUUCUCAUGCUGACUACGUGCUAUCAAUUGUGCCAUACACAUUAUUUAGUAACUAAUCAAAAAGUGUCAAAAGCUAGCCACCAAAGCAAAUCUGAAUCUGCUACUAUGCUACUACUGCCACAACUAACCGAGGUUGGAGCAUAGGGAAUAAGCUGCUCCUCCACCAAUCGCAUAUAGGGGGUGACGGGGUGGGACUGAAGGAGAUUGGGAGAUCCGGAGAGGAAGUAAAGAGAGAAGAAGGGAAAUGGCACGCAUUACCUUUACAAUAUUGGAGGCAACGUCACGGAAGCAGGCGGAGGCGGAGGGCAGCCAGGCGGGGCGGAGAAUGAAGAGGCAAGCGGCGGCUGUCGGGACGCACGCCGGGAUGGCAACAAGGUGGCGGUGCACAUGCGAGGUCGGCCAGGAGGACGAGCAAUGCAAACAUCUGGAAGGAGGAAGCCGACGCUAUUCUCCAUCGAGAAACGAAGGCUGCAGUACCACACCCCAGCGACGGCGAGCCCCAUUGGUGGACGGCGGCUGCGGGAUAGCCCUAGACGAGUCUGCUGCGUGUGUUUUUUUAGGGGUAUGCUGCAUGUGGUGCUGUGGAAGUGAGGAGGUGCAAGAGGAAGUGCUCGUGGGCUGGAAUGGCCAGAUGGAUUCAGUUUGGCCUUUUCAUUUUCUCCACUCACUAUUGAAACAUCCCGGGCAGACCAAAGUGGGCCUACCAAAUGUACAUAUGACAUCGAGCCAUUGUUUUCUUCGUUUUCCAAAAAGAAGUAAUUCCCUGGACACGGAUAUUUGACUCUAGGAGCAUAUUCUCUGUAAUGAACAGGAAAAUCAAAAUAAAAUUUUAAAAUCCUAAAUUUUUACUACAUGUUCAUAUUAGUGUAGCAAGCGUGCUUGACAAUUUUCAUGCCAUAUGGGAUAAUAGUGCUUCGUCGGUGAAAAAAAUAAAAUUAAGUGUAACAUUUGGCGUUUGACUUUUUUUCCCCACAAGUCAACAUGCUUAAGUUUUCCCCUGUAAGUUUGCAUGUACCAUUUGGGUGUGACAAUGAACCUGUCUAUUUUUUCAUAUUUUUUUAUAUUUGUAAAUUUUCGUUUUUGGCACGCUAGAUCAUGUGCUAACUAGAGCCAGAAUGAAUUUUCGGAAUUCCCCACCUACUUAUCCUCAUGGGAUGAAAGUGCAGAGCCAAAAAACAUACUAACAAACGAUGUUAGGGAGACUUUUACUGAAAAGUGAUAGUUGAGGACCCAUGUUCACUGAAGUUGGUCAAAAUUGAAUAUAAUAAGUGUUGAAAAGGACCGAGUACUAUUAAAUUUAUCGCCCGUUGCAACGCAUGGGCAUUUGUACUAGUUGGUUCCUACAUAUUCUACGAAGAUCUUUAUUGUUUAAACCGCAUAACAACAUACGUUGUUCCCUUUGUCAUCGAUAUGUUACUUGCCCGAUAUUCGAUUGUCGGUAUCAUCAUACCUAGUUCAGUCUCGUCACCGGCAAGUCUUUUUACUCGUUCUGUAAUGCAUCAUCCCGUGACUAAUUCACUAGUCACAUUGCUUGCAAGGCUCAUAGUGAUGUGCAUUACCGAGAGGGCUCAGAGAUACCUCUUCGAUACACGGAGUGAAAAAUCCUAAUCUCGAUUUAUGCCAACUCAACAAACACCAUUGGAGACACUUGUAGAGCAUCUUUAUAAUCACCCAGUUAGGUUGUGAUGUUUGAUAGCACACUAAGUGUUCCUCCAGUAUCCAGAGUUGCAUAGUCUCAUAGUCAUAGGAACAUGUAUAAGUUAUAGAGAAAGCAAUAGCAAUAAACUAAAUGAUCAAAGUGCUAAGCUAAUGGAUGGGUCAUGUCAAUCGCAUCAUUCUCUAAUGAUGUGAUCCCGUUCAUUAAAUGACAACUCAUGUCUAUGGCUAGGAAACUUAACCAUCUUUGAUUAAUGGGCUAGUCAAGUAGAGGCAUACUAGUGACACUCUGUUUGUCUAUGUAUUUACACAUGUACUAAGUUUCUGGUUAAUUCUAGCAUGAAUAAUAAACAUUUAUCAUGACAUAAGGAAAUAUAAAUAGCAACUUUAUUAUUGCCUUUAGGGCAUAUUUCCUUUAGUCUCCCACUUGCACUAGAGUCAAUAAUCUAGAUUACAUUGUAAUGAUUCUAACACCCAUGGAGUCUUGGUGCUGAUCAUGUUUUGCUAAUGAGAGAGGCUUAGUCAGUGGGUCUGCAACAUUCAGAUCCAUAUGUAUCUUGCAAAUUUCUAUGUCUCCCUCCUUGACUUGAUCGCGGAUGGAAUUGAAGCGUCUCUUGAUGUGCUUGGUUCUCUUGUGAAAUCUGGAUUCCUUUGCCAAAGAAAUUGCACCAGUAUUGUCACAAAAGAUUUUCAUUAGACCCGAUGCACUAGGUAUAACACCUACAUCGGAUAUGAACUCCUUCAUUUGCUGCUUCCGAAGCAGCUAUGUACUCCGCUCCACACGUAGACCCCACCACGACGCUCUGCUUGGAACUGCACCAACUGACAGCUCGACCAUUCAAUACAAAUACGUAUCCGGUUUGUGACUUAGAGUCAUCCGGAUCAGUGUCAAAGCUUGCAUCGAUGUAACCGUUUACGAUGAGGUCUUUGUCACCUCCAUAAACAAGAAACAUAUCCUUAGUCCUUUUCAGGUAUUUAGGAUAUUCUUGACCGCUGUCCAGUGAUCCACUAAUGGAUUACUUUAGUACCUCCCUGCUAAAGUAAUAUCAAGGCACACAUCAGGUCUGGUACACAGCAUUGCAUACAUGAUAGAACCUAUGGCCGAAGCAUAGGGAAUGACUUUAAUUUUCUCUCUAUCUUCUGCAAUGGUCGGGCAUUGAGUCUGACUCAACUUCACACCUUGUAACACAGGUAAGAACCCUUUCUUUGCUUGAUCCAUUUUGAACUUCUUCAAAACUUUAUCAAGGUAUGUGCUUUGUGAAAGUCCAAUUAAGCGUCUUGAUCUAUCUCUAUAGAUCUUGAUGCCCAAUAUAUAAGAAGCUUCACUGAGGUCUUUCAUUGAAAAAUUCUUAUUCAAGUAUCCUUUUAUGCUAUUCAGAAAUUCAAUAUCAUUUCCAAUCAACAAUAUGUCAUCCACAUAUAAUAUCAGAAAUGCUACAGAGCUCCCACUCACUUUUUUGUAAAUACAGGCUUCUCCAAAAGUCUGUAUAAAACCAUAUGCUUUGAUCACACUAUCAAAGCGUAGAUUCCAACUCUGAGAUGCUUGCACCAGUCCAUAAAUGGAUCGUUGGAGCUUACGCACUUUGUUAGCACCUUUUGGAUCGACAAAACCUUUUGGUUGCAUCAUAUACACCUCUUCUUUAAGAUAUCCAUUAAGGAAUGCAGUUUUGACAUCCAUUUGCCAAAUUUCAUAAUUAUAAAAUGCGGCAAUUGCUAACAUGAUUCUGACGGACUUAAGCAUUGCUACGGGUGAGAAGGUCUCAUCCUAGUCAACUCCUUGAACUUUUUGAAAACCCUUUGCAACAAGUCGAGCUUUGUAGACAGUAAUAUUACCGUCAGCGUUAGUCUUCUUCUUAAAGAUCUAUUUAUUCUCUAUGGCUUGCCAAUCAUCAGGAAAGUCAACCGAAGUCCAUACUUUGUUCUCAUACAUGGAUCCCAUCUCAGAUUUCAUGGCCUCAAGCCAUUUCAUGGAAUCUGGGCUCAUCAUCGCUUCCACAUAGUUUGAAGGUUUGUCAUGGUCAAGUAACAUGACCUCCAAAAUAGGAUUACCAUACCACUCUGGUGCGGAUCUUACUCUGGUUGACCUACGAGGUUCGGUAGUAACUUGAUCAGAAGUUUCAUGAUCAUCAUCAUUAGCUUCCUCACUAAUUGGUGUAGGAAUCACUAGAACUGAUUUCUGUGACAAACUACUUUCUAAUAAGGGAGCAGGUACAAUUACCUCAUCAAGUUCUACUUUCCUCCCUCUCACUUAUUUUGAAAAAACUCCUUCUCUAGAAAGGAUCCAUUCUUAGCAACGAUUUUUUUUGCCUUCGAAUCUGUGAUAGAAGGUGUAACCAACAGUCUCCUUUGGGUAUCCUAUGAAGACACAUUUCUCCGAUUUGGGUCCGAGCUUAUCAGGUUGAAACUUUUUCACAUAAGCAUUGCAGCCCCAAACUUUAAGAAAUGACAACUUGGGUUUCUUGCCAAACCACAGUUCAUAUGGUGUCAUCUCAACGAAUUUAGAUGGUGAUCUAUUUAAUGUGAAUGCAGUCGUCUCUAAAGCAUAACCCCAAAACAAUAGCGGUAAAUCAGUAGGAGACAUCAUAGAUCGCACCAUAUCUAAUAAAGUGCGGUUACGAUGUUCGGACACACCAUUACGUUGUGGUGUUCCAGAUGGCGUGAGUUGCGAAACUAUUCUGCAUUGUUUCAAAUGAAGACCAAACUCAUAACUCAAAUAUUCACCUCCACGAUCACACCGUAGAAACUUAAUUUUCUUGUUAUAAUGAUUUUCCACUUCACUCUGAAAUUCUUUGAACUUUUCAAACGUUUCAGACUUAUGUUUCAUCAAGUAGACAUACCCAUAUCUACUCAAAUCAUCUAUGAAGGUCAGAAAAUAACGAUACCCUCCGCGAGCAUCAACACUCAUCGAACUGCAUACAUCAGUAUGUAUUAUUUCCAACAAGUCUAUUGCUCUCUCCAUUGUUCCGGAGAAUGGAGUCCUAGUCAUCUUGCCCAUGAGGCAUGGUUCGCAAGCAUCAAGUGAUUCCAAAAGCCCAUCAGCAUGGAGUUUCUUCAUGCGCUUUACACCAAUAUGACCUAAACGACAGUGCCAUAAAUAAGUUGCACUAUCAUUAUUAAACUUAUAUCUUUUGGCUUCAAUACUAUGAAUAUGUGUAUCACUACUAUCAUGAUUUAGUAAAAAUAGACCACUCAUUAAGGGUGCAUGACCAUAAAAGAUAUUACUCAUAUAAAUAGAACAACCAUUAUUCUCUGAUUUAAAUGAACACCUGUCUCGCAUUAAACAAGAUCCAGAUAUAAUGUUCAUGCUUAAUGCUGGCACCAAAUAACAAUUAUUUAGGUCUAAAACUAAUCCCAAAGGUAGAUGUAGAGGUAGCGUGCCGACGACGAUCACAUCGACUUUGGAAGCAUUUGCCACGCGCAUCGUCACCUCGUCCUUAGCCAAUCUUCGCUUAAUCUAUAGCCCCUGUUUUGAGUUGCAAAUAUUAGCAACAGAACCAGUAUCAAAUACCUAGGUGCUACUGCGAGCAUUAGUAAGGUACACAUUAAUAACAUGUAUAUCAAAUAUACCUUUCACUUUGCCAUCCUUCUUAUCCGCCAAAUACUUGGGGCAGUUCCACUUCUAGUGACCAGUCCCUUUGCAGUAGAAGCACUCAGUCUCUGGCUUAGGUCCAGACUUGGGCUUCUUCACUUGAGCAGCAACUUGUUUGCCGUUCUUACUGAAGUUCCCCUUCUUCCCUUUUCCCUUCUUCUUGAAACUGGUGGUCUUGUUGACCAUCAACACUUGAUGCUCCUUCUUGAUUUCUACCUCCACAGCCUUUAGCAUCGCGAAGAGCUCGGGAAUUGUCUUAUCCAUCCCUUGCAUAUUAUAGUUCAUCACAAAGCUUUUGUAGGUUGGUGGCAGUGAUUGAAGAACUCUGUCAAUGACACUAUCAACCAGAAGAUUAACUCCCAGCUGAGUCAAGUGAUUGUGAUACCCAGACAUUCCGAGUAUGUGUUCACUGACAGAACUAUUCUCCUCCAUUUUGCAGCUGUAGAACUUAUUGGAGACUUCAUAUCUCUCAAUCUGGGCAUUUUCUUGAAAUAUUUACUUCAACUCCUGGAACAUCUCAUAUGCUCCAUGAUGUUUAAGACGUCGUUGAAGUCCCGGUUCUAAGCCGUAAAGCAUGGCACACUGAACUAUCGAGUAGUCACCAGCUUUGCUCUGCCAGGUGUUCAUAACAUUUGGAGUUGCUCCUGCAGCGGGUUUGGCACCUAGCGGUACUUCCAGGACGUAAUUCUUCUGUGCAGCAAUGAGGAUAAUCCUCAAGUUACGGUCCCAAUUCAUGUAGUUGCUACCAUCAUCUUUCAACUUAGCUUUCUCUGGGAACACAUUAAAAUUCAACGGAACGACAACACAUGCCAUUUAUCUAUAAUAACAUAGACAUGCAAAAUACUAUCAGGUACUAAGUUCAUGAUAAAUUAAAGUUCAAUUAAUCAUAUUACUUAAGAAGUCCCACUUAGAUAGACAUCCCUCUAAUCAUCUAAGUGAUCACGUGAUCCAUAUCAACUAAACCAUGUCCGAUCAUCACAUGAGAUGGAGUAGUUUUCAAUGGUGGACAUCACUAUGUUGAUCAUAUCUACUGUCAGUGGUGCGCGUUGGUGCUAAACAAACGAGUUUUUACCCCUUUCCGCAACGGCAUUUAGAACCGCCGCCAAGUGAGUGUAUGUGAUAGGGUGUACUUCCCACACGAUCCAGAAAACGCCGGGGAUGGUGAUACGUCUCCAACGUAUCUAUAAUUUUUGAUUGCUCCAUGCUAUAUUAUCUACUGUUUUGGACUAUAUUGGGCUUUAUUUUCCACUUUUAUAUUAUUUUUGGGACUAACCUAGUAACCGGAGGCCCAUCCCAGAAUUGCUGUUUUUUCCUAUUUCAGUGUUUCGGAGAAACAGAAUAUCAAACGGAGUCCAAAUGGAAUGAAACCUUCGGAAACGUGAUUUUUUCAUCAGAUAAUAUCCAUGAGAUUUGGACCCUUCGUCAAGAAAGCCACGAGGCGGUCACGAGGGUGGAGGGCGCGCCCCCCUGCCUCGUGGGCCCCUCGAAGCUCCACCCACGUACUCCUUCCUCCUAUAUAUACCUACGUACCCCAAACGAUCGGGGACGGAGCCAAAAACCUAAUUCCACCGCCGCAACUUUCUGUAUCCACGAGAUCCCAUCUUGGGGCCUGUUCUGGAGCUCCGCCGGAGGGGGCAUCGAUCGCGGAGGACUUCUACAUCAUCAUCCAAGCCCCUCCGUUGAAGUGUGAGUAGUUUACUUCAGACCUACGGGUCCAUAGUUAGUAGCUAGAUGGCUUCUUCUCUCUUUCUGGAUCUCAAUACAAUGUUCUGCCCCUCUCUUGUGGAAAUCUAUUCGAUGUAAUCUUCUUUUUGCGGUGUGUUUGUUGAGACCGAUGAAUUGUGGGUUUAUGAUCCAGUCUAUCUAUGAAUAAUAUUUGAAUCUUCUCUGAAUUCUUUUAUGUAUAAUUGGUUAUCUUUGCAAGUCUCUUCAAAUUAUCAGUCUGGUUUGGGCUACUAGAUUGGUUUUUCUUGCCAUGGGAGAAGUGCUUAGCUUUGGGUUCGAUCUUGCGGUGUCCUUUCCUAGUCACAGAAGGGGCAGCAAGGCACGUAUUGUAUCGUUUCCAUCGAGGAUAACAAGAUGGUUUUUUUUAUCAUAUUGCAUGAAACUAUCCCUCUACAUCAUGUCAUCUUGCUUAAGGCGUUACUCUGUUUUUAACUUAAUAGUCUAGAUGCAUGCUGGAUAGCGGUCGAUGAGUGGAGUAAUAGUAGUAUAUGCAGACAGGUGUCGGUCUACUUGUCUCGGACGUGAUGCCUAUAUACAUGAUCAUACCUAGAUAUUCUCAUAACUAUGCUCAAUUCUGUCAAUUGCUCAACAGUAAUUUGUUCACCCACCGUAGAAUACUUAUGCUCUUGAGAGAAGCCACUAGUGAAACCUAUGGCCCCUGGGUCUCUUUCUCAUCAUAUCAAUCUCCAUCACUUUGUUAUUGCUUUGCUUUUACUUUUUACUUUGCAUCUCUAUACCAAAAAUACCAAAAAUAUUAUUUAUCAUCUCUAUCAGAUCUCACUUUUGUAAGUGACCGUGAAGGGAUUGACAACCCCUAAGCGCGUUGGUUGUGUUGAGCUAUUGUUUUUGUGUAGGUACGAGGGACUCGCGCGUAGCCUCCUACUCGAUUGAUACAUUGGUUCUCAAAAACUGAGGGAAAUACUUACGCUACUUUGCUGCAUCAUCCUCUCCUCUUCGGGGAAAUCCAACGUAGUGCUCAAGAGGUAGCAAGAAGAAUUUCUGGCGUUGUUGCCGGGGAUUCUGCGCAAAAGUCAACAUACCAAGUACCCAUCACAAUCCCUAUCUCCCGCAUUACAUUAUUUGCCAUUUGCCUCUCGUUUUCCUCUCCCCCACUUCACCCUUGCCAUUUUAUUCGCCCUCUCUCUCUAUCCUCCCUCUCUAUUUGCCUCUUUUUGCCCGUUUACUUUUUGUUUGCUUGUGUAUUAGUUUGCUAGCUUGUCGUUAUGUCAAGUCCUUUAUCUUCUGCCUCUAGGUCUGAAAUUGGGGAAAUUAUUGUCGAUAUGGAUAGUAAUAAUAUCAUGAAAAAUUCUGAUGGUCCUGCUAAAGAACCUACCAUCUUUCAUACAAAAAAAUCCGUGUUGGUAGUGAUAAUAUUAUUGGAAAAGGAGUUAUUCAAGAUUUCUUUACUUGUGCCGGUGCUUUACCUUCUAUGGGUAGUUCUAUCCUUCACAGAACUAGUAUUCUUGCGGACGCUAUUGCCAUGCUUGUAGUUGAACUUGAAAGACAAUUCAUGCACAUGCAUCCUUCCAUACAAAGGAUUUUUCUGGAAUUUUCUAAUAUUGAGUAUUCUUCUGUUAAGCGUGCCGCUACUAUCUUUUUGGCUCAUGAGUUUAGAUUCAUAAUAAAAGAAGCCAAAGAAAUCUUUGCGCAUUAUAGGGUGGACGCUUGUCGUCCUCCCAUAGAGGCUAUCCUCUUUGAUCAAGAAGAAAUAAUGCGUUUUCAAUCUCUAGACUAUGUUGCUUUCAAUGAAAAUCUUAGAAAAAGGGUUCCUACCAAUGUUUUAGUUGAUAGAAUUUCUGAACUUAAUGAUGAUUUGGCUAUUCGAAAUAAUGAACUAGGAUAUUCUCUUGAAUAUAGGCUCACAAAGUUCUGGCAAAAGAAUGCUUAUAAUGAUGAAUUGGUUGUGCAUUAUGAAGGACCAAAGGAGGAACCUAUACCUCCCAAGGUUGAUCUUGGGGACUUUUGUCCCGUUAAAUUUAGGCCUUUUGAUUACUUCUGCUUGCCUCAAAUAAAACUUGCUGCCGAACGUAGAUAAUAUGAAAUGAGUUUUAAUAAUCUAUCUUACUAUUAUGGCAAUACCUAGAUCUAUUCUUGCUUGUUAUGCCUAGCUAGGGGCGUUAAACGAUAGCGCUUGUUGGGAGGCAACCCAAUUUUAUUUUUAUUCCUUGAUUUUUGCUCCUGUUUAGUAAUAAAUAAAUUAUUUAUUCUCUGUUUUUGUUGUGUUUUUUUUGUUUAAUUAGUGUUUGUGCCAAGUAGAACCGUUGGGAAGACUUGGGGAAAGUCUUGUUGAACUUGCUGUAAAAACAGAAACUUUAGCGCUCACGAGAACUGCUGUCAUUUUUAUUUGGAAAGUGAUAGUUAGUUAAUUAUUGUUGAAGAUGAUUAAUAUAUAAAUUCGUCACGUCCAGCAAUUUAUUUUAGAAUUUUUGGGGUUCCAGAUCUUGCGCUAGCUACAGAUUACUACAGACUGUUCUGUUUUUGACAGAUUCUGUUUUUCGUGUGUUGUUUGCUUAUUUUGAUGAAUCUAUGGCUAGUAACAUAGUUUAUAAUCCAUAGGGAAUUUGGAAUACAGUAGGUUUAACACCAAUAUAAAUAAAGAAUGAGUUCAUUACAGUACCUUGAAGUGGUCUUUUGUUUUCUUUCGCUAACGGAGCUCAUGAGAUUUUCUACUUUAAGUUUUGUGUUGUGAAGUUUUCAAGUUUUGGGUAAAGAUUUGAUGGAUUAUGGAACAAGGAGUGGCAAGAGCCUAAGCUUGGGGAUGCCCAUGGCACCCCCAAGAUAAUAUGAGGACACCUAAAAGCCAAAGCUUGGGGAUGCCCCGGAAGGCAUCCCUCUUUCGUCUACUUCUAUCGGUAACUUUACUUGGAGCUAUAUUUUUAUUCACCACAUGAUAUGUGUUUUGCUUGGAGCAUCUUUUAUGAUUUGAGUCUUUGUUUGUUAGUCUACCACAAUCAUCCUUGCUGUACACACCUUUUGAGAGAGCCAUACAUGACUUGGAAUUUUAUAGAAUACUCUAUGUGCUUCACUUAUAUCUUUUAGAGCACGGUGGUGGAUUUGUUUUAUAGAAACUAUUGAUCUCUCAUGCUUCACUUAGAUUAUUUCGAGAGUCUUAAUAGCAUGGUAAUUUGCUCAAAAUCCUAAUAUGCUUGGUAUGCAAUAUUAAUAAUAAAACUUUCUUAUGAGUGUGUUGAAUACUAAGAAAAGUUUGAUGCUUGAUGAUUGUUUUGAGAUAUGGAGGUAAUAAUAUCAAAGUCAUGCUAGUUGAGUAUUUGUGAAAUUGAGAAAUACUUGUGUUGAAGUUUGCAAAUCCCGUAGCAUGCACGUAUGGUAAAUGUUACGCAACAAAUUUGAAACAUGAGGUGUUAUUUGAUUGUCUUCCUUAUGAGUGGCGGUCGGGGACGAGCGAUGGUAUUUUCCUACAAAUCUAUCCCCCUAGGAGCAUGCACGUAGUGCUGAGGUUUUUGAUGACUUGUAGAUUUUUGCAAUAAGUAUGUGAGUUCUUUAUGACUAAUGUUGAGUCCAUGGAGUAUACACACUCUCACCCUUCCAUCCUUGCUUGCCUCUUCGGUAUCGUGCAUUGCCCUUUCUCACAUUGAGAGUUGGCGCAAACUUCGCCGGUGCAUCCAAACCCCGUGAUAUGAUACGCUCUUUCACACAUAAACCUCCUUAUAUCUUCCUCAAAACAGCCACCAUACCUACCUAUUAUGGCAUUUCCAUAGCCGUUCCGAGAUAUAUUGCCAUGCAACUUUCCAUCAUUCCAUUCAUCAUGACACAUUCAUCAUUGUCAUAUUUCUUAGCAUGAUCAUGUAGUUGACAUAGUAUUUGUGGCAAAGCCACCGUUCAUAAUUCUUUCAUACAUGUCACUCUUGGUUCAUUGCAUAUCCUGGUACACUGCCGGAGGCAUUCAUAUAGAGUCAUCUUUGUUCUAGUAUCAAGUUGUAAUCAUUGAGUUGUAAAUAAAUAGAAGUGUGAUGAUCAUCAUUAUUAGAGCAUUGUCCCAAGUGAGAAAAAAAAGGAAGGCCAUAAAAAAGAAGGCCCAAAAAAAAGAGAAAGGCCGUUAAAAAAAGAAAAGGCCAAAAAAAUGAGAGAAAAAGAGAGAAGGGACAAUUUUACUAUCCUUUUACCACACUUGUGCUUCAAAGUAGCACCAUGAUCUUCAUAGUAGAGAGUCUCUCAUGUUAUCACUUUCAUAUACUAGUGGGAAUUUUUAAUUAUAGAACUUGGCUUGUAUAUUCCAACAAUGGGCCUCCUCAAGUGCCCUAGGUCUUCGUGAGCAAGCAAGUUGGAUGCACACCCACUAGUUUCUUUUGUUGACCUUUCAUACAUUUAUAGCUCUAGUGCAUCCGUUGCAUGGCAAUCCCUACUCCUUGCAUUAACAUCAAUCGGUGGGCAUCUCCAUAGCCCAUUGAUUAGCCUUGUUGAUGUGAGACUUUCUCCUUUUUUGUCUUCUCCACAUAACCCCCCUCAUUAUAUUCUAUUCCACCCAUAGUGCUAUGUCCAUGGCUCGCGCUCAUAUAUUGCGUGAAGGUUUAUAGGUUUGAGAUUACUAAAGUAUGAAACAAUUGCUUGGCUUGUCAUCGGGGUUGUGCAUCAUGAGAGCAUUCUUGUGUGACGAAAGUGAAACAUGACUAAACUAUAUGAUUUUGUAGGGAUGAACUUUCUUUGGCCAUGUUAUUUUGAGAAGACAUAAUUUCUUAGUUAGUAUGCUUGAAGUUAUGUCAAUAUGAACUUUUGUCUUGAAUAUUUUGGAUCUGAAUAUACAUACCACAAUUAAGAAAAAUUACAUUAAAAUUAUGCCAAGUAGCACUCCGCAUCAAAAAUUAUGUUUUCAUCAUUUACCUACUCGAGGACGAGCAGGAAUUAAGCUUGGGUGUCGGUGUCAAAACCGGCGGAUCUCGGGUAGGGGGCCCCGAACUGUGCGUCUAAGGCGGAUGGUAACAGGAGGCAGGGGACACAAUGUUUUACCCAGGUUCGGGCCCUCUUGAUGGAGGUAAAACCCUACGUCCUGCUUGAUUGAUAUUGAUGAUAUGGGUACUACAAGAGUAGAUCUACCACGAGAUCAGAGAGGCUAAACCCUAGAAGCUAGCCUAUGGUAUAAUUGUUGUUGUAUAUCAUCUAUCGACUAGCCUGGCCUCAGUUUAUAUAAUGCACCAGAGGCCUAGGAUAACAAGAGUCCUAGCCGAAUACGCCGGUGGGGAGGAGUCCUUGUCUUGACCACCAAGUCUUGUAGAAUCUUCCAUGUAUGCGGCAGCUGUGCGAACUAGCCCAUGAGUAUACGGCCAUGGGGGUCCUCAGCCCAAUCUAACAGAUCGGGAGAUGACGUGGUGAGUACCCCCUAGUCCAGGACACCAUCAGUAGCCCCCUGAACCGGUCUUCAAGUUAGAGACGCUCCUCGAUUCUUCCGGACUGUUCUUCAUCUUUGGUUGUCGGUCUUGGAAACUGGUUCAACAAAUCUUCCCAUCUUCGAUCUUGAGGAUCACCGAAAUGCAUUCGACGAGUUUACACAUCGGGUAUCCAAGGAGCCCCUUUAAGUGUCCGGCCUUUAUCAAUGCCUUGUUAUUUUUAGGCCACACCUCGGGUUUGAAGUUGUUCCCGGGAGGCAGUGUCCUCUUGCGUCCGAGCUCUAACGCCGGAUAGCAUUCGAGGUAUCUUUUGCAGCUGAGCACUAAUGCCGGACUACUUCCGAGCUCUAACGCCGAAAUGUAUCCAAGCUCCAACGCCGGACUGUGUCCAAGCUCCAACGCCGGACUAUAUCCAAGAUGUCAUAGAUCAUCUUGGUCCAAAAAAGUUGAAGGAGUUUAGCCGAGCUUAAUGCUGGAAAUGCCCUCUAUGGAGCCAGCCACUAGCGCCCGAGCUUUAUGCCGGACUACUUCCGAGGUGGUGCACCACCCCGACUGUGGGUCGAUUUUUUGUCAAUAUUUUUGAUUGGUGCAAUUUAUUCUCUGCCGAGAUAUAUAGCCAGUAGCCCUCAAGGUGUGUAUGGUCUAAAACCCGAGAUGCACCUGAAGGAUGACAUAAGGCCGCUGAUCCCAGUAGCUGCUGAGACUCAGGUUGAUUUGCAAAAUUGGCCUAAGGAUCAAGUCCUAGCUCGGCAGAAUACUUCGGGAUACAAAAAGCGGCGUGCUCAGUCCUCGAGACUCAGGUUGGGUGCGGCCAACCAACCUGAGGAUCAUAAUCUCCUCGGAAACUAUAUUGCACUUAAAAUUUUCUGCAUUGGACAGGCAAUGCAGUAGCCCCCGAGACACUGGUCGGGUGGCAACACCAGAUCAGGGGAUCGAUGUGCCCUUUAAUAUUUGUAAAUAAUAAGCCCGAAGCCCAGUAGCCCCCGAGCCUUAAUGCGGGCACGGGUGGCCGAAUUAAGGAUCGAUAUCCAUAUCAAAAUCACAAAUUAUGUGUAAUGACUCUAUGUAUCCAAGUACUUUACGUCAUUUAAUGCUCGGAUCCGCAUUGUACAAAACUUUGUUGACCGACCAUCGGCUUUCACCUCCUCGGCCAGUAGCCGAGGAGUGUUUGUCUUACUUUAUAAAGCCUUUAUGAGGGCAAGAAAAACAAGGCAAUCUGGCCAUACGGUUUUAUAAACAAAGGUACGCAGAGAGAUAUGUUAUAUUAGCGUUUUAACAUAAGAAAUGUCUUCCAAAGAAAAUAGUCCCGCUAUCGGUUCCUUUCUUUGGGUUGUCAUGCUAAGCAUGAUCAUGAGACCUUAGCUCUAAUAUAAGAGAAAAAUAUUGAGGAUUUUAGUUUGGGAGGCCAGUUAAUAGCCCCGGUAGUGUUCGGCGACAGUCGAGGUCAAGCCGUAAACACUUCGGCCAUUGUUAUGAAUGGCCCGUCAUUUAACAUAGUCAUCGGAUCGCUGACCAGUUUACGCUUAUUGUGACAGUCAGUUUUCAUAUUUCUCCACUGAGGUGCUUAACCAUGUGAGCUGGAAGCACAAUCAUAGUGGUUCUCCCUUUGCACGCCUAGCCGAACAAAGCGGAAUGUAGGAAGCAAGUGCAGGAGCCGGGCAACCCAACUAUUGACCGAAGACACAAUUCGAAACCGAUGCAUAUAUAGCAAUAUCCGAGAAUGUUUUUGCCGGAUACCUAAAGGUGUCCGGCAUUGCACUGCGAGACUUGUGCUGAAAACACACAAAUAGUUUAAAAGUGCCAAAAGCUUGGAAAACCAAAAAAUGUCAGUAAAAACUUAACGUCCGAACAAGAUCAAGUGUUCGGUGCCAAUCCGAAAAUUGGUGAUAGAAAAAAAGAGUGCUUCUGUCGUGCUUUAACAUGUCACAUCCUAUCUCAAGACUUCAGGCGGGUCAGCCUACGGCUUCAACCUCCUAUCCCGAAGGCGGAGUACUUCUCAUUAGGCCAGUUUAGCAAACUAAACUCUAGCGGCUUUGAGAGAGAAAUUAGGCUCCCUGGCUAGUGACCACACACUCGUGUCAAAAAAAGGAGUGAUGGAAAAAGACUUUGCAACGACCAAGAAGAAAACACAUUUACUAUAAAAUAGCUCAUAUAAAUUUUAAGAGCCCCCAAGUGACUUGGGAAAAGAAUUUUAUGCAUAAUGAUUGUAUGUACCGAAGUACUUAUAUCAUAUCUUUGUUCAACCGAACUUUAAAUGCGUCUUAACCGACCGUCGGCUUCUCCCUCUUCGGUCAAGGACCGAAAAGUGUUAUGUACUCCACCUGUCGAGAAUAUCGACAGUGUUUCUGAUAACCAGGCAACCGGGCCAUAAGGCUGUAACAAACAAAGCGCGCUCAGGGAAGUUAUGCUAUAUUACAAACGAAGUGUAAGAAGCAUCUUCGAAGAAAAUAGUGCCCCCACCGAUACCUUUCUUCGGUGCUCAUUAUUACUAUGAGACUUGUGCAAUAGAUUUUUUGUACUCAUGAGUUCAGUUGUGUGCCGACCAUGAUUGAAAACAAUAAGAGUGCUAGCUUUCAGCUUCACCCAGUCUGAGGUCAGAGCUCGGUGGACCCGGUCGUGACAAUCGCAGAGGUGCUCCCUUUACUCCCUAGCCAAACAAUCGAGAACGUAGGGGUAAGCACAGGAGCCAGGCAACCCAGCUUGCAAAUUGCUUAAGUCAAUAUGGUGCAUAUUGUGGCGUAAUACAUGAACAAGGAACGAAGCCGUACAAGUAUAAUCAUAUGCAAGAGGAAAAGGUUCAUAAAGGAAGCCCCAAAUAAACAGGGUAUUUGAAUUUGUGUGUCACAAACAAAGUUUGGACAAGAAAAUAUUUUACAAGCAACUUUUUUCCAAAAAAGUAUAAUGCUUGGUCGAACCGAACACAAGUUAAAAAUUUAAAACUUGGAGCAUGAAGGCAACUUAGCUGGUUAAUGUGUUCGGUAUUGACGACACGGUCCGAGCUUGAUGCAGGACAAGGUUCCAUCCCCCAAGCCAGUCCCGAGGUGGUGGAGCAAAGAGCUCGGCACUCCGAAGUGGUGACAUGGCACGGUCAAUGCAGUGUUGACGAAGCCCCCCGUCCAGCCGAGGUGACGUGGUAUGUCAGUACGCCGAGUUGACGAUACUGCCCAACCCGGAUAAUUUUCCUAUGCACAAAAAAAAUAGUGCAAACCGGAGAUAAUAGUAAUGAUAAUAAUAAAAAAUGUUGCAUAAUAAAUAAUUUAUGCAAAGUGAGUAAUAAAAGAAAUAUGGCCUGGCGCCGAAGUCAAUGUCGAUGCAGGGCGUCGGCGUGGUGCGGUAAAGGUGUGGCAAAGCCUGAAUUCACAGGUCGGUCCCAGUUCCGGAUGCGGCGUUCGCCGGACUAUGUACGGAAACUGACCAAACCACCACGCGACCAUCAUUAAUGCGACCAUCAUUUCAUAGACCUGUGUACAGAUGAUGGACAAACCAGAGUAAUAAUUCCUUGGGAAAAAUAAACCCAAACAAGCAAAAAAUACUAGGAUUAAUAGCACCUGGUUUAUUUGUUGUAGCAGUCCGAAGAAAGGUGAUUCCCAGAAUUGGGACUCGAUCCACACACCCAUUGCCUGAUGGGCGAUAAAGCGAAGGCAUGGCAAUGCUGGCAAAGGUCGGCUUGCCGAGGCAAAGCCCUCGGCCCAGCUAAUCGUGACGAAGCUGGUCGGCUGGUGACGCCAAAGUCACCGGAGUAGGUUGAUGAAGAGAUGAUGAAGCCCCCGGUCCAGCCGAGAUGUCGAAGCCUCGAUGUCAGCCGAUGAGUCGAAGUAGGUUGGCGUGAUGGACACCAGCUUGAAGAAGCAACAGUGCAGCCCUGCCGAUGCAGGUCGUGACGUGGUCGAUGCCGGCUUGAUGAAGUGACCGUGCGGCGAUGCCGGUAUGCCCGCUCCGUGUAAUCCGUGGGGCGGCGAUGUUGGUGAUGAUUUAUCCUUCGCGAUGCCGGACUCUUGCUCGGCUUGCCGAGAUAAUGAUCCAAAGAAGUUGAGCUCGGCUCAACAAAGUGACGACGUGUCUAGCGCAGGUCGGCAGCCGUGGAGCAAUAUUGCCGAACUGGUUUGACACUAGCAUGAUGUUGAAGAUCAUGUUCAAAAGAUCUUAAAGUUGGUGGGAGGUGUUCAGGAACAAAACACAAUACCCGAUACAACACUUCCUUCAAAAGGGAUGUCCGAAAUCCCGUUCAUAAAAAAGACGAAUUCGGGUCGGAUUCGUUUUCGCGCAGAAAACAGAUCCAAAAAGUGAUGCACUAAUCGGAAGGUUCCCGGUGUUUGGACGGUCGGAUCGAGCUGAAAUUUUGAGAGGUGGUGGAUAUAGGAAUCCCGCAGCAGAUCAACAGUUGGAUUUUCCAAAGGAUGUCCGAGCUAGAAGCUGGACACCACGCCCUAAACUCGUCCAGAUUCUCGUGUAGAUUUGACAGGGCUCCGGUAUAUCGUGGAUUGCCAGACAUUCCUCCAUCGGAACUUGAGGAAAUUUUCCAGGGUUGUUGUAGACUCAAUUCUGCACAAUUCCACCGAAGCAAUCGUUAAAGAGACACUUGAGGAGGCGGUGGCGGCGGACACAAGUUUGCUGUCUAGAAAAACAACACGGUCGCCUGAGGGCAAUGUUGACGUUGAGCCCCCGGGCUCCCUGGAUGAUUCCUCCAUGAUCUUGAUAGACAUCGGAGUGGAUGUUUAUAAAGGCCCUCAUCCGAACAUGACGAUCGGAGGUAGGGCGCAGUCCUUGGUCGAACCAAGGUGACCAGUCAAGCUGGUGACGAAAAUGCCGAAGUCGCAGUUGAUCUGCAGGCGAGCCAUCAACCUUUUGCCGAACAACAACGAAACUCUCAAUGAAAGCACCAAUGUCGGUGUCAAAAUCGGCGGAUCUCGGGUAGGGGGUCCCGAACUAUGCGUUAAGGCGGAUGGUAAUAGGAGGCAGGGGACAUAAUGUUUUACCCAGGUUCGGGCCCUCUUGAUGGAAGUAAAACCAUACGUCCUGCUUGAUUGAUAUUGAUGAUAUGGGUACUACAAGAGUAGAUCUACCACGAGAUCAGAGAGGCUAAACCCUAGAAGCUAGCCUAUGGUAUAAUUGUUGUUGUAUAUCAUCUAUCGACUAGCCUGACCUCGGUUUAUAUAAUGCACCAGAGGCCUAGGAUAACAAGAGUCCUAGCCGAAUACGCCGGUGGGGAGGAGUCCUUUAAUUGAUCACCAAGUCUAGUAGAAUCUUCCAUGCAUGCGGCAGCUGUCCGAACUGGCCCAUGAGUAUACGGCCAUGGGGGUCCUCGGCCCAAUCUAACAGAACGGGAGAUGACGUGGUGAGUACCCCCUAGUCCAGGACACCGUCAUUGGGGAUGCUUGAUAGUCUCCAACGUAUCUAUAAUUUUUGAUUGCUCCAUGCUAUAUUAUCUACUAUUUUGGACUAUAUUGGGCUUUAUUUUCCACUUUUAUAUUAUUUUUGGGACUAACCUAUUAACCAGAGGCCCAGCCCAGAAUUGCUAUUUUUGCCUAUUUCAGUAUUUCAGAGAAAUAGAACAUCAAACAGAGUCCAAACGAAAUGAAACCUUCGGAAACGUGAUUUUCUCAUCAGAUAAGAUCUAGGAGACUUGGACCCUCCGUCAAGAAAGCCAUGAGGCGGUCACGAGAGUGGAGGGCGCCCCCCUAGUGCGCGCCCCUGCCUCAUGGGCCCCUCAAAGCUCCACCGACAUACUCCUUCCACCUAUAUAUACCUACGUACCCCCAAACGAUCGGGGACGGAGCCAAAAACCUAAUUCCACCGCUGCAACUUUCUGUAUCCACGAGAUCCCAUCUUGGGGCCUGUUCCGGAGCUCCGCCGGAGGAGGCAUCGAUCACAGAGGGCUUCUACAUCAUCAUCCAAGCCCAUCCGAUGAAGUGUGAUUAGUUUACUUCAGACCUACGGGUCCAUAGUUAGUAGCUAAAUGGCUUCUCCUCUCUUUUUGGAUCUCAAUACAAUGUUCUCCCCCUCUCUUGUGGAGAUCUAUUCGAUGCAAUCUUCUUUUUGCGAUGUGUUUGUUGAGACCGAUGAAUUGUGGGUUUAUGAUCCAGUCUAUCUAUGAAUAAUAUUUGAAUCUUCUCUGAAUUCUUUUAUGUAUGAUUGGUUAUCUUUGCAAGUCUCUUAGAAUUAUCAGUUUGGUUUGGCCUACUAGAUUGGUUUUUCUUGUCAUGGGAGAAGUGCUUAGCUUUGGGUUCGAUCUUGCGGUGUCCUUUCCCAGUGAUAGAAGGGGCAACAAGGCACGUAUUGUAUCAUUGCCAUCGAGGAUAACAAGAUGGGGUUUUUAUCAUAUUGCAUGAAACUAUCCCUCUACAUCAUGUCAUCUUGCUUAAGGCGUUACUCUGUUUUUAACUUAGUACUCUAGAUGCAUGCUGGAUAGCGGUCGAUGAGUGGAGUAAUAGUAGUAGAUGCAGGCAGGAGUCGGUCUACUUGUCUCGGACGUGAUGCCUAUAUACAUGAUCAUACCUAGAUAUUCUCAUAACUAUGCUCAAUUCUGUCAAUUGCUCAACAGUAAUUUGUUCACCCACCGUAGAAUACUUAUGCUCUUGAGAGAAGCUACUAUUGAAACCUAUGGCCCCCGGCUCUCUUUAUCAUCAUAUCAAUCUCCAUCACUUUAUUAUUGCUUUGCUUUUACUUUUUACUUUGCAUCUCUAUACCAAAAAUACCAAAAAUAUUAUUUAUCAUCUCUAUCAGAUCUCACUUUCGUAAGUGACCGUGAAUGGAUUGACAACCCCUAAGCGCGUUGGUUGCGUUGAGCUAUUGUUUUUGUGUAGGUACGAGGGACUCGCGUGUAGCCUCCUACUGGAUUGAUACCUUGGUUCUCAAAAACUGAGGGAAAUACUUACGCUACUUUGCUGCAUCAUCCUCUCCUCUUCGGGGAAAUCCAACGCAGUGCUCAAGAGGUAGCAGAUGGACCCUCCUGGGACCCAGGCUGGGGCUGCGUGCGAUCGGGCGAGGCAUCGAAAGCCAAUCAUUUCAGUAGGUAUGUACAUCCCACACAGUAAUCUGAGAAAAUCAUUUAUGUAGGUAUGUACAUCCCACACGGUAAUCCGAGAAAAUCAUUUCCGUAGGUAUGUACAUCCCACACGGUGAAUCUCAGAAUUCCGUUCGUAUGUAAAGCAGACACAGUCAAUCCAAGGAAUACAUUUCCGUUCUUAUGUACAACCCACACAGUCAAUCCAGGGAAAACAUUUCUGUUCGGAUGUACAUCCCACAUGGUUUUAUGUAUACGCUCGUGUGUGAAAGGUGUAACUAUCACACACGCUCUGCCUUGGUUAACUGUUUGCUUUCAUUAACUACAUCACACACGAUUUGAUGGAGAAAACUGUGUGACAUUGGGCUAUCUAUCGCAAGUGCUUUUACUGCUAGAACCGUUUGCAAAGGUCCAUGACUAUCCCUUCUAUUUUUAUUUUUGUGUGUAAUUUAUUAUUAUAAUUGAAAAUUUUGAAAUACGAAACAUGCAAUUCAAAUUCUCAGCACAAUGGUUCAACAACGAAUCCAGAAAUAAAAUUGACAGUACAAUAUGUUCAGUAAUUACAUGAUUAGGCAGCAAUUAACUAUGAUGAACCGCAGUAUUUAAAGGCGACAAAGGUGAAGAGACAAGUUUAAACCAUUUUGACUGCCGACGGUGUUGAAGAAGAGGAAUGCCCAUAAUGUGCCUUCCUGCAUGCCAUAGGCACGAACCACUUUUGUCCAACCCCUUGUGACGAUCGCCCACCCAUCCUUCACCGCCUUCAGGAAGACUUAUAGAGCAUUAUCAUGGUAGCAUGAAUUAUAUACGUUAACCUUAGUUGCCUCCACUCUGUUCAUGUAGUUUGUAAGGUAAUAAUCAGUAAAUAGCUUCGGAAACCACUGAAAGAGAAAAAUAUCAGAAACUAAGGUCUAAUAGAGUAACUUGUUGUGGGCAGGGGGAAAAGGCAACACAUUACUUACCAUCCUAAAGUUCACUGUUGUCUUUGACAAAGUGUAAAUAAAGAGCUUAAUUCCAAUCACUCGUUUCUUUCGCCUAACAAUCUUUCUUAGUUUCCUCACUUGACACUUGUUCACGAAUAUCACAUUGCCCCAUACGCAAAAGGGAUCGAAGCGUGGAUCAGUACCCCUCAUAUAUGUACCUACAAGCAACCAGUAAAUGCUAGAAGCUAAACUAAGAUUGCACAAAUGAUGUAAAAUAUAACUACCUAUGUUCCUAAGUACAGGUAUUUUUUUGAGAUUUCAAUACGAACUACAUACGGAUGUAUAUAGAAUUAUAGAUAUAGUUUAGAUUAGAAUCUAGAUUCACUCAUUUUACUCCUUAUGUAGUCUAUAUUGGAAUCUCUAAAAAUACUUACAAUUAGGAAUAGAUGGUGUAUAAGACAUGGGAUGCAGCUAACCUCGACGGCAAACAACAUCAUCGUCCAUUGUAGCCCUAUGUAUGUACAUGGAAAGCCAAUGUUAACUACAACAUGGUUAACAUCCACCAAAAAUAGCAAAUGGUAAUAAAACGACAGCAUCUAUAGUGAUAUCUUCAUUUUGAAAGAGUAGCACGGUAGCAAAGGGACGGAUUGAAAAUGGAUACAACUGUUAAUUGCAACAGGCUUAAUGGCAAUUGAAACCGGUACUGAUAAAAAUGCAAUUGGCAAAGUUAAACAUCACAGGGCAGGUGCUGCCAGAGCAGAUAAUGGCCCAGUUCUCUAUAAAAAAGGUAGGGAAAAUAGCUCAAACGUGUUAGGCAUGUUUACUACAACAUGCUUAAUACAUCGAUAGUACAAAACAUAGCCAUUAAUUGCAACUGGUAUUGGUAAGAUUGAACUGGUGGGUACAUACUUGGUAAGUCCUGAGAGGUAGUUGCUGGGGCACUUCAUCUUGGCCAUAGCCCGCCCAAAGUCAGCGGUGGCGGAGGCGAGCUGUUCCUCCGGGUCGAACCGUGGAUCAGUGCCACUGACAUGUGUACCUACAUGCAACCAGUAAAUGGUAGAAGUUAAACUGCAAUUGCACAAAUGAUGUGAACUAUUGUAAGACAUGGGAUGCAGCUAUCCUUGACGGCAAACAACAACAUCGACCGUUAUGACCCUGCGUAAGUACAUGGACAAGCAUGUUAAGUACAACAGGGUUAGCAUCCACAAAAAAGCAAAUGGGGCAACAUCUCUAGUAUAUCUUCAUUGCGGAGAGUAGCAUGGUAGCAAAUGGACAGAUUAAAAAAUGGAUACAACUGUUAAUUGCAACAGGCUUAACAACAUCAUAAGUCAUGUUUUGUAAGUUUGUAGCCAUUGAAAUGCAACUGUCUAAAAAUGGAUUCAACUUUUAAUUGCAACAGGCUUAAUAGACAUUGAAAUGGGUACUGAUAAAAAUGCAAUUGGCAUAGUUAAACAUCACAAGGCAGGUGCUGCCAGAGCAGAGAAUGGCCCAGAUGUCUAUAAAAAGGUAGUGAAAUAGCAAAACAUGUUAGGCAUGUUUACUAGAACAUGCUUAAUACAUUGACUGUACAGAACAUAGCCAUUAAUUGCAACUGGUAUUGCUAAGAUUGAACUGGUGAGUACAUACUUGGUAAGUCCUGAGAGGUAGUUGCUGGGCCACUUCAUAUUGGCCAGAGCUCGCCCAAAGUCAGCGACAGCGGAGGUGAUAUGUUCCUCCGGGUCGAACCGUGGAUCAGUGCCACUGACAUGUGUACCUACAUGCAACCAGUAAAUGGUAGAAGUUAAACUGCAAUUGCACAAAUUAUGUGAAAUACUGUAGGACAUGGGAUGUAGCUCACCUCGACGGCAAACAAAAGCAUUAGCCGUUAUGACCCUGCGUAAGUACAUGGACAUGCAUGUUAAGUGCAACAGGGUUAGCAUCCACUAAAAAUAGCAAAUUGGCAGCAUCUCUAGUGAUAUCCUGAGUCAUGUAUUGUAAGUUUGUUGCUGGUAUUAGUGAAAUUGAGCUGGACACGGUAAUAUUUGAACAUCACACAAUGUGUAGUACUGAAAUAAACAAGGCACGAACAUGCUUAAUACAUCAACCGUACAAAUCAUAGUCGUUACAAGUGGUAUCGGUAAGAUUUAGCUGGUCAAAUCUUACCUGUUAAGUCCUAGAGGGUAGUCGCUGGGGGACUUCAUCUUGGCCAGAGCCUGCACCAUGUCGGUGGCGGCAGCGAAGGCGAGGUGUUCCUCCGGGUCAACACGCGCAGCGGCCAUCGCGCCAUGGACCGCCAUUAGCUCCUGGCGGCAGGGGGGAUUUGGAGGCAUGAGGAUGUUUCACAGGCGCCAUUUAAGCAAUCAGGCGGGGACGUGAUAGAGAUUGGUGGGUCACCUGACUGGAUCCGAGCAGAACAUAGAUGUGGUUGAAGCCGUGGUUGCGGCGGCGGCGGUCUGAGAUGCCGGUAGGGGGAGGCGCGAGGGAGGGGGGAUACUGAGGGGAAGGGGAUGUGGUUGGAGGAAUAAAUUCUGAAAUCGCACGCCUAAUGAAAAUUUCGGUGCGAAAUUUGAAACUUUGGCGGGGGAAAUAUACAACGUAGACGAAGCGCGUAAAAUACUCGUGUGCGAGAAAAAAGAAAGUUGGCAGAUCCCGUCUCCAAAAAAAUGUACACAUGUACUUGAUUUUUUUGGUCAAUGGUAUGCCUGGUUUAUUAGAAAAUAUCGCACGGGUAACUGACUUAUGGGUCAUUAACGCAAAAAACGCAGAUGGGUACGGCAUAUUAACCGUGUGUUUUGUGAUCUUCUAAUGAUUAACGCAAAAAAACGCACACGGGCACACAUGCUAAUCAACGCCCAAAGACCACAAAGGAUGCUUUUACCGACAUUGUACGUUAAUACUACAAACUUAAAGUACUAUUGGUAAUUUUCUCUAAUACUACAAACUUAAACUACUUCUCACAUGCGGCCAUCAGGGCAUGCUGGCCAGACGCCGGCGUUCUCCAUCCCGGCCUUGUAGGCGGCAGCCCACCAUGCUUCGAUCUCAGCCAAGCUCUCCUCACCAUGGCGUGCAGCCUCUUUUUUCUUACGGCAGCGAGACUCUCUUUUCUUGACUGCUUUCUGCCUUUUCCGCUCCUUCUGUGCGGCUUUGGCUUCCUCUAGAUCCACCACCCAUUCGGCCAUGGCAGCGUCAAAGUCCGCCCAUGUAACUGUAUGGCCACCGAUGACGAUGAACUCGGCACGGCGAGAUGCCAUCACUUCCUUACCAUGUGUGCGGUCGCGGGCGGCGAGGAACGCGGCACAGGGGGGAUGCCAUCGCUUCCUUACCAGUUACUGUGCGCUGCGGUGCCAUGGACGUCUCCUGGUGAGAGCUCUGGGAUGGAGGGGCCGGGCAGCCGUACAGUGCGGUGGUAUUCAAGAGCUCAAAAACAAACAACAACAGAAAUUUGGGUUCCCUUACAAUUUUGCUCGUUCAUUAUAGCACACGGUUCAUCUUCGUCGCUUCCAGAAACAGUGUGCACUGAGCCUAUUGUGUGCUGCAUUAUGAUUGGACGGAACCCUAGCCACGCGGAUCGCGCGUGUGCAUCGUUGCAUGCGCCGCGAUCGAGCGGCAAUCCACGUCCCUCACAUCACACCCGUGCACCUGUAGCUGCAUUGGAUUUAUAUGCGCUAAAUGCCUAGAAAAUGCACAUAAUAUCCUAAAUAUGGUAAAUGAGCCCGGAAAAAUGCCAAAUUUGAACACGGUGAUUUGCUGGGUGUAUGUUCGCGUAGAAAAAAACUCCAGGGCAAAGAACGAAGAAAUUUUGGAUUCCCCUUCAAUCUUGAGGAUUUCCCUUUCGAAAGCAUGGAACUUCCUCGGUGAUGGUUCGAUUUAUGAAGGGCGUGCAUGACAACAUAAGCCAAACAUUCUCAAAUUUUUACCAAGGCAUGGUGUGGUCAUACCAUGGCACCAUGCCAGGCAUCAUGUUUUUUAAGCAUUUAUUUCAUUUUUUCUAUAGUUGAAAACCCAACAAACAGACAUUUGUGGUUGACUAUUUGUAACGCCCCGAGACCGAUGCACCAGGUGUCUUCCAGUUAUUCAUGUUGAGUGCCUUGUCAUAUCUUUACUUCUUGCACCAUGCUCAUCUCAUUUGGGUAUAUUGCUUUGUCAUGCCCAUCAUCAUCUUAUUGCAUUGCCUCUUGUCAUUUUGCAUGCUAAUCAUAUACCUUGUGGUAAUCUUCAUAUUGUUGCCAUGUGCAUUUCUUUCAUCCUUAUGUGGUGUGUUGUUGUUAUGAUGUGUGUGAGCAUCAUUCCUUGUCAUCUCUCUCAAGCCAUACCCAUGCAUCAUCACCUCUCACUUCCUUCUUCUUUCAUGUUUUUGCAAGUGACUUUAUUCCUCCUUCAUUAAUGUUCGUCCUUUCCCUAUAAAUCUUGCCUCUUUCCUACACCCUCUCUGUCAGAUUUCAUCCCAUUCAAAGUUGUUUUGGUCAGGUUCAAAAAUGAUUGAAGUUUGAGCAUAAUCCAAACUCUAAUUAUUUUUCUGAUUUCUAAAAAUGAAAGAGCAAUUUAUUAAAACCCUACAUAAAUCCAGGGUUCCAGAUAUAUAUUCAUAUAUCUCAUAUUCCUAACCAAAACCCGUGGACUUUCCCCUUUGUUGAUUGUUUAUUUAUAUAAAGAAAAAAAUAAAAUAAAGGAAAAGGCCCCUUACUUGUUCAGCUACUCACUGGGACUCCCAACUCCUACGCAGGCCACAAACCUGCAGCUCGGCCGACCUUUAGGCCCAACCGCCCCACCUACACCUAACCCUAGCCUCGACCGACCUAUCCCUCUCUCUCCCCUGCUCGUUCCCACCGCCGCCAGAAGCCAUCUCCCUCGACUCCUCCUCUAGCGCCGCCAGAGACAUGCACGCAGGCGCAGUCCUCUGCUUCGACCCGACCUCAUCCUUUCCCUUGUUCCCUUGUGUCGGCUCCCCCUCAUAUCGAUCUUUCCCUGUCCUCUCGCUCAAGCUAACCACCCCGCGGCCCCGCAAGCUCGCCUGCCCGCACGGCCAUGGCUUCGCCGCCCUCGACCCGGCUCACCCUUGACGCCCCCUUCGCUGGAGCCCUUCCUCCGCCUCUGCUUUGGCCUCCCGUGAUAGCCACGCCGCGCCCUCAAGCGCCUCACCUCCCACAGCCGGUCGAGGACCUCCUCGUCGCCUCCUCAUCUACCCGGCGCCACUGACUCGUCAGCUCCGUCGCCAGGGGAGGAGACCCUCAACCUGUCCCCUUCGGCCCUGACUCCGGCGAGUGCCGCCCUGUCGACUCUCCUCCGCGCGACGCCUCCCCUCUGCUGCCUUGUUCCUUUGCCUGCGACUGCCCUUUUCUUUCCCGCCUUGCCUCACGCGACCCACAUGGGCGCCGGCCAUGGAGGCCACCGUGCCGGCCUGCAGCUUUGCGCGUGCUGCCUUGCCUUCCUGCUACUUCGUCCGACUUCGGACGACCUCCAUCGAGCUCGCCCGGCCACCUUCAACCUCGGCGUGGCCCUGCCUCCACUAGCAGCCUCCUGGAGCCGGCCAUUUCCAUGGGUUCGGGGAGCCCCAAGUCUUGUCCGUGGCCUCGUUGGCUGUUGAUGUUACGCUGUUGGCUUUCUCCAUCGUCUCCCCGGGCUCGUCAAAUCCUGUACCAGGAGCCCAAGCCGGAAGACUCCAUGGAUGUGCAUCUCACUUGUGCCAUUUUGGAUCGUCAAGAACGUUUCGAGAUUCGCCAAGUACCAUUACGCCCGGAGACCACGGAUCCGUCAAGUUCCACUACCGUCGCCAUGGAUCCGACAAGUUCGCGAGUACGACCACUUACCACGACGACCUUGUACCACUACCGUCGAUGAAGACAUGUGCACCGCAAGCGUCAAGUUCAACUACCGUCGACGGCGAAGGGUUUGGAGUCAUCAGGCACCUCUCUGAACGAACGGGAACGACUAUCGUAGCCGAGAUCACGAGAACCUCUACCGACGACCUCGAAACGUGUACGAUGACCGUUGUCGAAGACACGUACCACUACUGCUUCCUGAACGUGUACCACGACUUCCAUGACUUCCGUGAACCGCUACUUCCACGACGGUCAUGAACGACUACUUCCCUCCAUGAACUCGAUACGCUUCGAAAACGUACGCUUCGAAGGUAUAGCCCCGAGACGACCGUCCGAGAAUGAUUGCUUGUGUUGUAUGAGAUGCACCGGUUGUCUGCACUGUGUCGGUAGUGUCUCUCGCUUCCAUGCUGUCGACAGUUGGGACACCCGGUAACCAGGAGGACCCCACCCUUUAUAUAUUUCAUAUUCCUAACCAAAACCCCUGGACUUUCCCCUUUGUUGAUUGUUUAUUUAUAUAAACCAAGAAAUAAAAGAAAGGAAAAGGCCCCUUACUUGCUCAGCUACUCACUAGGCCUCCCAACUCCUACGCAGGCCGCAAACCUGCAGCUGGGCCGGCCUUUAGGCCCAGCCGCCCCACCUACACCUAACCCUAGCCUCAACCGACCUCUCCCUCUCGAUCCCCUGCUCGUUCCUACCGCCACCAGAAGCCUUCUCCCUCGACUCCUCCUCUAGCGCCGCCAGAGACAUGCAUGCAGGUGUAGUCCUCUGCUUCUACCCAACCUCAUCCUUUCCCUUGUUCCCUUGCGCCGCCUCCCCCUCAUAUCGAUCUCUCCCUCUCCUCUCGCUCUAGCCAACCACCCCGCGGCCCCAUGAGCUCGCCUGCCCGCACGGCCAUGGCUUCGCCGCCCUCGACCCAACUCGCCCUCGACGUCCCCUUCACCAGAGUCCUUCCUCCGCCUCUUCUCCAGCCUCCCACGAUAGCCAUGCCCCGCCCUCAAGCGCCUCACCUCCCGCAGCCGGUCCAGGACCUCCUCGUCUAACCGGCGCCACUGACUCGUCAGCUCCAUCGCCAGGGGAGGAGCCCCUCGACCUGUCCCCUUCGGCCCCGACUCCGGCGAGCGCCACCCCAUCGACUCUCCUUCGCGCGACAGCUCCCCUCUGCUACCUCGUUCCUCUGCCUGCAAUUGUCCUUUGCUCUCCCGCCUUGCCUCACGUGACCCACAUGGGCGCCGGCCAUGGAGGCCACCGUGCUGGCCUGGAGCUUCACGCAUGCUGCCUUGCCUUGCUGCUGCUUUGUCCGACCGCGGACAACCUCCGUCGAGCUCGCCGGCCACCUUUGACCUCGGCGUGGCCUUGCCUCCACUAGCAGCCUCCUGGUGCUGGCCGUUUCCAUGGGUUCGGGGAGCCCCAAGUGUUGUCCGUGGCCUCGUUGGCUGUUGAUGUUAUGCUGUUGGCUUUCUCCAUCGUCUCCCUGGGCUAUUCAAAUCCUGUACCACGAGCCCAAGCCGAAAGACUCCAUGGAUGUGCAUCUCACUUGUGCCAUUUUGGAUCAUAAAGAACGUUUCGAGAUUCGCCAAGUACCAUUACGCUUGGAGACCACGGACCCGUGAAGUUCCACUACCGCCGCCAUGGAUCCGACAAGUUCGCGAGUAUGAUCACUUCCCACGAUGACCUUGUACCACUACCGUCGACGAAGACAUGUGCACCGCAAGCGUCAAGUUCAACUACCGUCGACCGCAAAGGGUUUGGAGUCAUCAAGCACCUCUCCGAAUGAACGGGAAUGACUAUCAUCGCCGAGAUCAUGAGAACCUCUACCGACGACCUCGGAACGUGUACGACGACCAUUGUCGAAGACCCGUACCUCUACCGCUUCCCGAACAUGUACCACGACUUCCACGACUUCUGUGAACCGCUACUUCCACGAUGGCCGUGAACGACUACUUCCCUCGACGAACUUGAUACACUAAAACGCAUGCUUCGAAGGUAUAACCCCGAGACGACCAUCUGAGAACGAUUGCUUGUGUUGUAUGCGAUGCACCCGUUGUCUGCACCGUGUCCGUAGUGUCUCUCGCUUCCAUGUUGUCUACACUUGGGACAGCCGGUAACCGAGAGGACCCCACCUUCUAUCGCAUGUCACACUCCCGUCACUUUUCCUUUUGCAUCGGUAUCUCCAUGAGCUAUCGGAACCGGAAUGAUGCCGUGGCACCAUUUCCGUUGUCAUUGUCGUGGCACCCCUUUAUUUCCACCAUGGUGACAAAUGUUUCAUAAUGCUCUUAUCAACAUUUUCAUAAAAUUGCAUAAACUUGCAUAUGCCAUCCGCAUCAUGAUAAUAACAUUAAAAAAUUUUAAAUUGUUGUUUGCAUUAAAAUGCUAAUGCAUAUGGGGAUUUACCGGUAUUGUUGUUUGUUAUUUCCGGCCUCAUUUAAACUUGCCUAAUGUUUAGUUUACUUAUGCUCCACCUCUUGCCAUGAUUAAACAACAUUUAAUUUUGUUGAGUAGUUUAAACGGGAGAGAACUAAAUAAUUAAAUGUGGUGUUUCGUCAAUAUGCAAGUCGUUGCAUAUUGAGCUCCACUUAACUUGUAGUUUUGCUUGUGCACUUUGCCAUGCCAUGCCUCAUUAAACCGUACAUGCAUCAUACUUGGUUGUGCAUCAUGCCAUGUUUAUGUGAUGGUUGUUUACCAUGUUGUUUGCUCCUUUCCAGUGUUGCUUCUUCUUGUUAGUUCCGGUAACGUCGCGUUUGUGAGGAUCCGUUCGACUAUGUCCGUUUGUCUUCUUCAUGGACUUGUUCUUCUUCCUCGCGGGAUCUCAGGCAAGAUGACCAUACCCUCAAAAUCACUUCUAUCUUUGCUUGCUAGUUGUUCGCUAUAUUGCUAUGCCGCGCUACCUACCACUUGCUAUAUCAUGCCUCCCAUAUUGCCAUGUUAAGCCUCUAACCCACUUUUCCUAGCAAACCGUUGUUUGGCUAUGUUACCGCUUUUGCUAAGCCCCUCUUAUAGUGUUGCUAGUUGCAGGUGAAGAUGAAGUUUGUUCCUUGUUGGAACAUGGAUAUUGUUGGGAUAUCAUUAUUAUAUCGUAUUUACUUUAAUGCAUCUAUAUACUUGGUAAAGGGUGGAAGGCUCGGCCUUAUGCCUGGUGUUUUGUUCCACUCUUGCUGCCCUAGUUUCCGUCAUACCAGUGUUAUAUUCCUUCAUUUUGCGUCCCUUACGCGGUUGGGUGUUAUGGGAACCCCCUGACAGUUCGCUUUGAAUAAAACUCCUCCAGCAAGGCCCAACCUUGGUUUUACAUUUGCCUAACAACCUAUCACCUUCCCUUGGGUUCUGCAGACCCGAGGGCCAUCUUUAUUUUACCCCCCCAUCCCCCGGGCCAGUGCUUCUCUAAGUGUUGGUCCGAACUAGAGCCCCUUGCAGCGCCACCUCGGGGAAACUUGAGGGCUACUUUUAGUUGUACAGAUUGAUCAUUUGGUGUUGCCCUGAGAACGAGAUAUGUGCAGCUCCUAUCGGGAUUGUCGGCACAUUGGGCGACUUUGCUGGUCUUGUUUUACCAUUGUCAAAACGUUUUGUAACCGAGAUUCUGAGAUUGAUCGGGUCUUCUCGGGAGAAGGAAUAUGUCAGGACCCCGACUCGAUGUCACAUCGAUCUAGCCGGUAACACUUCAUAUCACUUUGCGGCCUCACGCACGGUAUUCCCACGGGUGUCGCCUUACCUUUGCCCGGGACCGUUUGCGCCUUUUGGCUCACGUAUAUGAUAGUGUCGCUAGCAUCCAUAUGAUAAAGAGCCCGGGCUGACAUGACUAGUCGUAAACCCAAAGUGGCACAGACUUACAGGGACAGGCAUCCAUGACCCAGCUUCGAACGUGUCGGUCAUCAGCAAGUGGGUCCGGGCUGUAGCACUGGGCUAGCAGGACUCCGGUAAACCGGGCUGUAGCGGGCUAACAGGACUCCGGUACUCAAAGCGUGACAUUUCCCCGAAGGGACAGACACAGGAACGAAGAAGGACACAUGCCGGCCAGCCUAAGUGUUCCAGAGCAGUAGCAUGCUACCAUGGCUCAGCGGUAACACUAGGAGACAUUUCCCGGUAAGAGAGGCUACUAAAGAUAAACAACUAGGUAGUCAGAUCCCACACAUACCAAGCAUUUCAAUCAUACACACAAUAUGCUCGAUAUGUGCAAAUAUAACGAAGCAUCACAACAUGACUCUACGACACAAGUACUUUUAUUUAAGGCUCAGCGAGCCAUACAUAACAUACACACAAAGGUACGGGUCUCACGACCCAACAUACAAGUCAUACAGUCAUACAAGCCAACAGCGGAAGAAACUUGUCUGAGUACAGACAACUAGUAAAAUAAAAGAGGCUCGGAAGCCUAACUACACUAUGUGGUCCAUCACAAGCUCAGGGUCACCACCUGGGUCUUUAGCCUACUCGUUGAUGUCAACGUCUACAUAGAACCCAUCAGAAGGGGUUGCAGCGUCUUCUGUAAAAAUGUAGAUUAUAGCAACAUGAGUACAAAGGUACUCAGCAAGACUUACAUCAGAUCCUACAUACAUGCAUAGUAUCAAGAAGGGUUGGUGGAGUUAUUGCAGCAAGCCAGCUUUGACUCCUGGCUAGACUAUCCUACGAUACUCCAAUUUGAAAUGUUUUGCGCACACGAGUCCACUACUCACCACUUCAAUACACUACCGAGGAUCCACCUCCGUCUUCCUACGGAAGACCCAUCCUCGGCACUCACACUUAUCUUGAGGCUUUUAAUAGUUUCCAUUUACUUGUCUAUGAACUGUAUAGGCAACCAAGUAGUCCUUUACCGCGGACGCGGCUAUUCGAAUAGAUCAUGUUAACCCUGCAGGGGUGUACUUCUUCAUACACGCUCUCACCACUUAUCGUCGUUUACACGACAUGUACUCGGCAACCUUCAAGCGGAAGCCCAACGUGGGUGUCGGCCACGACCUACCUAAUCACCUAAGCCUCCAGUCCAGGUUUAUCGCCUAUUCAGGUUCCAUCCGCAGGGAGUCCGGCCGAGGUUUCCCAUACGGCCCCGAACGAUGUGAACAGGGUUCCCGAGAUACCUAACGGGUAUUCGGUACACCGUGCCACGUACCUACCGCAUCAUAGCCCACCCCUACGGUCAGCGCUGUCCACGGCCUCCAGUAGGCUACAAACACCAGAAACUACUUGCAACUCCUGGACGGAGAACUAGGGUGAAUAAGAAGUCGAGAGGGUCCAUUGGUUUCGGGCCCAAUGCAUGGUAGUAGCUGAUUCUUAAAUCACACAUACAGAUCUCAGUGCUUAAGGUCGGCUUCAAUGAAACAACCCACCAUGUACUCCUACAUGGCCUCUCAUCGAUACCUUUACCAAAUCGUGUUCACCACACUACUCUCAUUACUGACAUAAUCAUUUCACUCUAGCCCAUCACCCAGAUGAACCAGACCUGACUCAACUCUAAGCAUAGCAGGCAUAGCAAGGUAGGAACAACACAUACAUAUGGCUCAAUCAACUCCUACACAUGCUAGUGGGUUUCAUCUAGUUACUGUGGCAAUGACAGGUCAUGCAGAGGAAAUGGGUUCAACUACCGUAGCACACAGCAGUUUGAAUCGCGUUGUCUUAAUGCAGUAAAAGAGAGCAGGAGCGAGAACAUGGGAUUGUAUCGAUAUGAUCAAAUGGUUGGUUGCUUGCCUGAUGGUUCGUUGCACGGAUACGGUUCUUCGUUAGGGUAAUCACGGUACUCCUCGGGAACAGAUCCUGUCGCAAAGGACAUCGAUACACAAACAUCACCAAACAAUAUGCAACAAUAUGAUGCAUGCAUGAAACAUGGCAAUAUGAGUGUGUUGGGCUAAUGCAACUAAAACCAGAAGGGUUUGAACAAAUUUGAAUCAAAGAUUCAAAUUUCAAUUUCAAAUAUGGCCUUUUAAAGGGCCUUUCCUUGUUCUGAUUAAAACAUCAACUUAACUUGUUUGAUCAUGCAUGAAAAUGGUACAGAUGGAUAGAUUGGAUUUUUCUGAUCAUUUUUCAUAUAUUAUUUGUCCAAUUUGGAGUUACAGAAUAAAAGUUAUGAAUUUUUGAAGUUUAAAUAAUAUUCUGGAAUUUCCUGAUUUAAUUUAAAUCCAGAAAUAUCAUUUACUGCGUCAGCCUGACAUCAUAGUGACAUCAGCAGGUCAACAGGGCUGGCUCGGGUCAAACCUGACGUGUGGGGUCCACACGUCAGUGUCACAGGGGCUAAUCCCGCGUUGACCCCGGGCUGGUUAGCUUUGACUAAGCCCUGGGGCCCACUUGUCAGCGUCAGUAGGUGGUGGAUUAGUGGUUAAUUAGCUGGGCCACGUCAGCUCGCCGGAGUUCUGGCCGGCGGCGACCAACAGUGCGGCGGCGAUAGUGGUUUUGGUCGUUUCGGCCACCAAAUGGAACGUGGCGACCACCGGAGUGAAGCUGAGGACGACCCGCGGCUCUUGGCGGAGUCCGUUGGGGUCGGGGUGGCCGGAGUCGACGGCGGCGAGCUCAGCUGCGGCCGCCGGGGUUCGGUCGUGCACGGGAGUGGUGCUGGAGCUCGAAGUUGAGCAAAGUGAGGCGCUAGGGAGGCUCUACUGGGUUCUGUGAACGCGUUGGACUCGCCGGGGUGACCAAGUGGUCACCGGAGCUGCGUCGACGGCGAGCUCGGCGACGGCGGAGGUUCGGCCGAGGUGGGGAUGCAGCUACGGUGAGGGAACGAGGGAAAGAAGAGGGGGGAACGGUGGCGUAGCUCACCGCGGUUGCAGUGGGCGUCGAAGCGGGCUCGGGGACGCGCUGGAGACGGCGAAUUCGUCGGCGACGGUGGUCGGAGUCCGAAGAGGGGAACGGCGACGUGGCGGCGAUGCAGGGCUUCCGGGGACUCGUGGAGCGGUGGGGAGGAAGAGGGAGUCGAGGCGGAGCUUCUGAGCUACUCGGGGGAGCGAGGGGUGGCCGGAGUCAGUGGCUACGGCGAACGGCGGCGACGGUGGUGUUCGGCCGAGAGCGAGAGAGAGCGAGGGAGAAGCGGGGGAGAGUGAGAGGGAGCAGGGGGGAUCGGGACGGGCUGCGGGCGUCGUCCACGCGGCCAGGGGGGCGUCGGCAAGCAGGAGGUGGCCGCGCGGCCGCGCGCGCGCGAGCACGCAGCAGCUUCGGGGCGUGGGGAGGAAGACGACGGGGAGCUACAGUGCUGGGCUGGCUAGCUGGGCCGGCCAGCUGGCUGGGCCGCACAGGUAAGUUUCUCCUCUCUUUUCUGUUUUCUGUUUUAAUUAAUAAUUCUGCAACUUUGUUGAAUUAAAUAAAAUACCUAGGCAACUCCAAAAAUCACCAAACUACUCCUGGUCCAUAGUUGGAAUAUUUCCAACAUGAAACAUUUUAGUUUGGAGAUAUUUGAGCAUUAAAAUAUUUUAUAUUAUUUUAAAUGCCCAAAUUCAAAUAGUUAUGAUUUAACUCAAGAACCCUAGGAUGGCCUAGAAAAGUGUGCACCAUUUUUGGCAGAGGUUCUGAACCAAGGCAAAAAUGAUGGGCAUUUUAGAAGGGCAUUUCAGGUUCAUUGAAAAUUAUUUUAGUAAACCCUAGUUGGUUAUCAGAGGGGACUGGGGGUUCUGUCAUCCCCAUUUCAAGUUUCUGAUGCAAAAGUAAACAUGAUGCAACACUCUAAUGCAUGACUAGCUAGGGUGUGACAACUCACCCCCACUCAAAAGAAUCUCGUCCCGAGAUUUGGGUUCCUCCGAGAAGAAGGCGGGAUACUCGAGUCGAAGACGAUCCUCCCUUUCCCAAGUUGCUUCAUCUUCAGAAUGGUGCGACCAUUGAACCUUGAGAAACUUGAUGUUAUGACGUCGCGUGGUACGUUCGGCUUGAUCGAGGAUACGAAUGGGGUACUCUCGAUAUGUAAGAUUAUCUUGGAGAUCAAGCGUUUCGUGGUCCACUUCACGGAUAGGAUCCGAGAAGCAACGUCUGAGUUGAGAAACGUGGAAGACAUCGUGAACUCUGGAGAGGUGCGGAGGUAGUUCCAAUUGGUAGGCAACUUCUCCUCGUUUGGCAAGAAUGCGAAAAGGUCCAAUGUAACGAGGAGCCAAUUUGCCUUUGAUACCGAAGCGAUGGGUUCCCUUCAGAGGGGUGACCCGAAGAUAAGCCUUCUCGUCAACCUCGAAAGUCAUAGCCUUAUGUUUUCGGUCAUAUUGACUCUUUUGACGAGAUUGGGCGGUUUUCAACUUUUCACGAACGAUACGAACUUGUUCUUCUGCUUCCUGAAUCAUAUCCGGGCCAAAGAAUUGUCUUUCCCCGGUCUCUGACCAGUUAAGGGGUGUUCGACAUCGUCGUCCAUAGAGGACUUCAAAAGGGGCUUUACCCAAGCUAGAUUGAUAGCUGUUGUUGUAAGCGAAUUCGGCAAAUGGAAGGCACUUCUCCCAGUCCAUUCCGAAUGAGAUAACAGAGGCUCGAAGCAUGUCUUCUAGAAUUUGGUUGACGCGUUCCACUUGACCACUUGACUGAGGGUGGAAAGCGGUGCUAAAGGAGAGACGAGUUCCCAUAGCAUUUUGGAAACUUUCCCAAAAUCGAGAGGUGAAAAGACUUCCUCGAUCCGAAUUGAUUUCCAAAGGAACACCAUGGAGGGACACUAUUCGGGAGAUGUAUAAGUCUGCCAGCUGACUAGCGGUUAUACUCUCACGAACAGGUAGGAAAUGAGCUACUUUGGAAAGACGAUCGACCACGACGAAGAUAGCAUUAUUCCCUCUCUUGGUCCUGGGAAAACCGGUAAUGAAAUCCAUACCAAUUUUAUCCCAUUUCCAUUCAGGAAUAGCUAAGGGUUGAAGGGUGCCAGCAGGCCGUUGAUGCUCUGCUUUUACACGACGACAGACGUCGCAAUUGGCAAUAUACUGAGCAAUUUCUCUCUUCAUCCUAGUCCACCAGAACCUCUGGCGUAGGUCCUGAUACAUUUUAGUACUACCGGGAUGAAUGGUGAGAGGAGAUUCAUGGGCUUCCUUAAGGAUUAUAUGCCUUAGGUUGCGCACUUUGGGAACUACUAAUCGAUCCCCGAAGUACACGACUCCUUGAUCAUUAACGGAGAAACAAUUCGCAAUUCCUUUCUGAAUAUUCCUCUUGAUGCGGGAGAUUCCCGGAUCUACCUUCUGUGCUUUGAUGAUUUGAUCCGUAAGGGUAGGUUUUGCCACCAAGGUGGAGAGAAAACCUUGAGGUACAAUGUGAAGGUUAAGCUUCCGAAAUUCCUCAUGGAGAAGCGGUUGACUUUGUUGUAACAUCAGGUUGUUACAAUAAGAUUUACGACUUAGCGCAUCAGCCAUGACGUUGGCUUUCCCUGGGGUAUAGGUUAUCCCUAAGUCGAAGUCUGUGAUCAAUUCAACCCAACGUCUUUGCCUGAGAUUCAAAUCCGGUUGGGUGAAAAUGUACUUCAGGCUUUGGUGAUCAGUGAAUAUUUCGCAACGAUUACCGAGGAGGUAAUGUCGCCAGGUCUUAAGGGCAUAGACUACGGCUGCAAGUUCUAGAUCAUGAGUAGGAUAAUUCUCCUCAUGUGGGUGCAAUUGCCGUGAAGCGUAAGCAAUUACGUGUCGAUCUUGCAUAAGGAUGCAACCUAGUCCUUGUCACGAGGCGUCGCAGUAGAUAACAAAGUCUUUGGAGAAGUCUGGUGGUACCAGCACGGGAGCAGAAGUCAGGCGUCUUUUCAGUUCCUGAAAGCUGUGCUCACAUUGUGAGGUCCAUUCGAACUUCUUAUCUUUCUUGAGGAGUUCGGUUAGGGGUUUAGCAACUUUGGAGAAGUUCUCGACAAAGCGACGGCAAUAGCUCGCUAAGCCUAGAAAACUCCGAACUUGCUUGACCGAUUCGGGUGGAGUCCAGUCAAGGACAGCUUGAACUCGCUCAGGGUUAACAGCAAUACCUUUACCAGAUAUUACAUGACCCAGAUAGGUCACUUCUGGCAACCAGAAUUCACAUUUAGAAAAUUUGGCAUAAAGGCGAUGCUCUCGAAGUUUCUGCAACACUAGCCUUAGAUGUUCGGCAUGUUCUUCCUCGUUCUUGGAGUAUAUGAGUAUAUCAUCGAGAUAAACUACGACGAAUUUAUCCAAAUACUCCAUGAAGAUUGAGUUCAUUAACCGAGAAAAAGUGGCUGGAGCGUUGGUUAAACCGAAGGACAUGACGGUGUACUCGUAUUGGCCGUAACGAGUAACAAAGGCCGUUUUAGGAAUGUCCCCGUUUCUGAUUUUGAUUUGAUGGUAGCCCAACCUCAAAUCCAUCUUGGAGAAGACUGAGGAUCCAGCGAGCUGAUCAUACAGAUCGUUGAUCCUGGGAAGUGGAUAUUUGUUCUUGAUUGUGACCAGAUUGACAGGUCGGUAAUCUACAACCAUUCGGUCCGUACCAUCCUUUUUCUUAACGAAUAGGACGGGGCAAGCCCACGGAGAUGAACUAGGGCGGAUGAAACCCUUUUUCAAGGAUUCAUCGAGUUGCUUCUUAAGCUCGGCUAGUUCUAGGGGUGCCAUCUUAUAAGGCCUUCUAGCAAUCGGAACGGUUCCUGGAAUGAGGUCUAUUACGAACUCAACAUCCCUGUCAGGUGGAACCCCUGGCAAUUCCUCUGGAAAGACAUCCGGAAAAUCACGAACUACCGGAACGUCCUCAAGGUCUGGCAAAGGGCUGGCGUUAAGAGAAUAUAAUUGUCGCUUGGCUAUUCGAGUCAAAACAUUGACUAUCUUCCCCGAAGGAUGGGUGAGUUGAACGGUCCUAGAGAAGCAAUCAAUUUUGGCUUGAUGAGCUGACAUCCAGUCCAUACCCAAAAUGAUAUUAAUAUCUGAAGAUUUAAGGGCUAUCAAAGAUGCAAGAAAAACAAGUCUGUCGACUUGGAUUUCAUUUCCAUGGCUUACUCUAGAAGUUUGCCAUUUGGAUCCCAGAGUUUGAAUUACCAUGGAGGAUGGAAAGUCACAGAAUGCAACGUUAUGCAAACGAGCAUAAUUUUCAGAUAUAAAAGAAUGAGAGGCUCCUGUAUCGAAAAGAACAGAUGCCGGGUGGCAAUUAACAAGAAGCGUACCGAGAACGACGUUGGGAUCUUCUUGAGCUUCUUCGGCAGAGAUACAGUUGACAUGGCCACGUGAAGCGGUGACCGGUUUGGCAAGGAACACCUUCCCUGUCGGCUUGCCACGGCCAACAGCUUUAGCAGAUUGAUUGGGGUUGGUCUGGGGACACUCACGCAUAUAAUGACCAGAUUCCCCACACUUGAAACAAGUCACGGAACUGGUACGUGGAGGAGCAUUAUUGGAUGGACCCCCAUAGGGCUUGGCUGGUGCAGACUGUUGGAUAGGGCGAGGCGCCUGAAAAGAUGGCCUCGGUGUGAACCUGGGUGGCAGGGCGGUAUUGGGUACCCACACGCGGCGCUUCUGAGGACUAGCACCGGAUGAGGAACCCAUAUCACGUCCAUGCUUGCGUGUUGCGUCAUAGUCAGUCUGACCAGUUUCAGCACUGAUGGCUUUGUUGACAAGUUUCGAAAAAGAUGUACACUCAUGCAGACGGAGGUCGCGACGAAGCUCAGGACUAAGGCCCUUACGGAACCUUGCUUGCUUCUUGGCGUCAGUAGAAACUUCCUCGGUUGCAUAUCGUGCAAGGUUACCAAACUCCCUGCUAUAGACAUCCACAGAAAGUCGGCCUUGGGUGAAAUUGCAAAAUUCUUCACGCUUACGGUCCAUGAGACCCUCCGGAAUGUGGUGUUCACGGAAAGCCUCACUGAAUUCAGCCCAAGUUGUGACAUGGCCCGCUGGGCGCAUGGCUCCAUAAUUCUCCCACCAUAGACUGGCGGGGCCUUCAAGGUGAUAUGCAGCAAAGGUGACUUUGUCAGCCUCCGCUACCAGCGCGGAACGCAGUUUAUGAGAGAUACUGCAAAGCCAGUCAUCAGCGUCGAGAGGCUCGACGGAGUGGUGGAACGUGGGUGGAUGCAAUUUGAUAAAAUCACUGAGUGACACCACGUUAGCCCUCUGAUGGUGUGCUGUGUUCUGUUCAAUACGCUCCAACAAACGGUUUGUCUCCCGCUUGUUUCUCUCAGCUUCCAUCAUCACCUCGGCUAGUGAAGGAGGAUGAGGCAGAUGUUCAUUUCUGGCUUCACUGCCUUCGGCCUGCUCUUGGGAAGCAGGGUUGGCGCGCGUGUUGACCAUCCUAGGUAAACAAGGCAAUGAUUUAGUCAGAAUGAUAAAAUUCCGACAUAGGAUACAUAAUGCAAGGAAUAACUCGGAAUGCAAGAUGAUCAUCCGUAUGACAUGGUAGAUACAGAAACUGCUUCUUUAUUCCAUCGUCAUACACACCAUACAAGGUUUAGUACAAGACCAAACAAAGUACUAUUACGGUGAAAAAAAGGAUUACAUCUCAUCGGAGGCAUCUCAAGCUACUAUACAUUAUUUUUCUACACCUCCGGAAGGAGUACAAACUAGUCAUAUCCCACGAGUCACGCAGGACGAUAGACGACACAGCUAGUGCGAACUGGUGAUACUACUACUAACUCAGACCGAUCCGUAAUAGUCCUCGUAGAAGUCACCUCCAUAGCCCGGAAGUUCAACAUGAUCAUCCGGAAACAGACGGUCUCGCGGAGCUUGUGGACCAUAGGGGCUAGGAUGAGGUCUUGGACCAGCAAACGGUGGCCUGCGGGGACCGCGAGGUGGGGUGAUGCCUCCUACAUCACGCCAAACCAUCACGUCUGGCAGAGCAGAUCUCACAGGAUAGAGAUCGCGCAUAUCUGAAUAUCCAGCUUGCACCGCCGGUGCGAACCGAGUCAAAGUGGCCCAGUGGUCAGCACGGGUAUUGAAGAGCUCUAACCUUAAGGCCCGAUUUUCACGGUCCUUAUCCUCGAGCAUCUCAGCAGUGGUGCGAGUCCGUGAAUCCUCCUGAGUGGAGUCAGCAUAUAUAGCCUGAAAAUAUCCUUGUGCUCCCGGAAGUGAUCCUGGCAUAUACCGGAAAUCAGAGUCCCGAAAUAACCUAGAUCUGACUCGCAUAAUGGUCAUCAUAGAGUAGGCGGCAUCCUGCACAGCCAUCUCGAUAGAAACCCCGAGUCCAUAGGAGCAGUGAAGAGGCUCAGUGGAUCCAGGAUAAGAUGGAAAUAUCCUGACAGUGCAGAGAUACUGGCUUUGAUUAAAGUCUCGGAAUUGUUCUUCGACCGUGUACUCAGGAUACCAGCGGUAUCCAGCCUCAGUCAUUACCCUGACCAACUUAGCAGUAUGGCCGGGUACAUCUAGGCACCGAGUCAGGCGAACCACUUGAUUGAGGUCGCGAGUGGCCAUCUGAAAGCACAAUUAUAAUGCAAAGGCAUUAGAAUUUCUAGCAAAAUUUCGGCAGCAUAACAGCUGUAAAUGCUCAAAAAGGAUAUUGAGACAUUUGACAAAGGAUUUCGUACACACUCAACAUCAUCAUAUCAAGUCUUGAAACCAUUCUUACAACAUAAUGUGGUGGUAGAACUGAACUAGGCUUGUAACCAUCAAACUUAUAAGGUACUACUGAUUAGUAACUCGUGAUCCUGAUAGAGAGAGCAGAUCCUAAUUCCUUAACCCCCGGUGGAAGAAUGGACUGACUCAGAUCAGAAAGUCAUAGGAUAUAAGGAGUAAAAAGAGCCUUACGUUCCAACCCACAAACAAUUCCCCUACAUAUAACUAAAGAAUUUCUAGACUCAACAUCAACCAGUUUGGCUUGGAGAACCUACAGGCAGUCCGGCUCUGAUGCCAACGCUGUCAGGACCCCGACUCGAUGUCACAUCGAUCUAGCCGGUAACACUUCAUAUCACUUUGCGGCCUCACGCACGGUAUUCCCACGGGUGUCGCCUUACCUUUGCCCGGGACCGUUUGCGCCUUUUGGCUCACGUAUAUGAUAGUGUCGCUAGCAUCCAUAUGAUAAAGAGCCCGGGCUGACAUGACUAGUCGUAAACCCAAAGUGGCACAGACUUACAGGGACAGGCAUCCAUGACCCAGCUUCGAACGUGUCGGUCAUCAGCAAGUGGGUCCGGGCUGUAGCACUGGGCUAGCAGGACUCCGGUAAACCGGGCUGUAGCGGGCUAACAGGACUCCGGUACUCAAAGCGUGACAUUUCCCCGAAGGGACAGACACAGGAACGAAGAAGGACACAUGCCGGCCAGCCUAAGUGUUCCAGAGCAGUAGCAAGCUACCAUGGCUCAGCGGUAACACUAGGAGACAUUUCCCGGUAAGAGAGGCUACUAAAGAUAAACAACUAGAUAGUCAGAUCCCACACAUACCAAGCAUUUCAAUCACACACACAUUAUGCUCGAUAUGUGCAAAUACAACGAAGCAUCACAACAUGACUCUACGACACAAGUACUUUAUUUAAGGCUCAGGGAGCCAUACAUAAUAUACACACAAAGUUACGGGUCUCACGACCCAACAUACAAGUUAUACAAUCAUACAAGCCAACAGCGGAAGUAACUUGUCUGAGUACAGACAACUAGUAAAAUAAAAGAGGCUUGGAAAGCCUGGCUAUACUAUGUGGUCCUCCACAAGCUCAAGGUCACCACCUGGGUCUUUAGCCUACUCGUUGAUGUCAACGUCUACAUAGAACCCAUCAGAAGGGGUUGCAGCGUCUUCUGUAAAAUGUAGAUUAUAGCAACAUGAGUACAAAGGUACUCAGCAAGACUUACAUCAGAUCCUACAUACAUGCAUAGUAUCAAGAAAGGUUGGUGGAGUUAUUGCAGCAAGCCAGCUUUGACUCUUGGCUAGACUAUCCUACGAUACUCCAUUUGAAAUAGUUUUGCGCACACGAGUCCACUAUUCACCACUUCAAUACACUACCGAGGAUCCACCUCCGUCUUCCUACGGAAGAGCCAUCCUCGGCACUCACACUUAUCCUGAGGCUUUUAAUAGUUUCCAUUUACUUGUCUAUGAACUGUAUAGGCAACCAAGUAGUCCUUUACCGCGGACGCGGCUAUUCGAAUAGAUCAUGUUAACCCUGCAGGGGUGUACUUCUUCAUACACGCUCUCACCACUUAUCGUCGUUUACACGACAUGUACUCGGCAACCUUCAAGCGGAAGCCCAACGUGGGUGUCGGCCACGACCUACCUAAUCACCUAAGCUUCCAGUCCAGGUUUAUCGCCUAUUCAGGUUCCAUCCGCAGGGAGUCCGGCCGAGGUUUCCCAUACGGCCCCGAACGAUGUGAACAGGGUUCCCGAGAUACCUAACGGGUAUUUGGUACACCCGGCCACGUACCUACCGCAUCACAGCCCACCCCUACGGUCAGCGCUGUCCACGGCCUCCAGUAGGCUACAAACACCAGAAACUACUUGCAACUCCUGGACGGAGAACUAGGGUGAAUAAGAAGUCGAGAGGGUCCAUUGGUUUCGGGACCAAUGCAUGGUAGUAGCUGAUUCUUAAAUCACACAUACAGAUCUCAGUGCUUAAGGUCGGCUUCAAUGAAACAACCCACCAUGUACUCCUACAUGGCCUCUCAUCGAUACCUUUACCAAAUCGUGUUCACCACACCACUCCCAUUACUGACAUAAUCAUUUCACUCUAGCCCAUCACCCAGAUGAACCAGACCUGACGCAACUCUAAGCAUAGCAGGCAUAGCAAGGUAGGAACAACACAUACAUAUGGCUCAAUCAACUCCUACACAUGCUAGUGGGUUUCAUCUAGUUACUGUGGCAAUGACAGGUCAUGCAGAGGAAAUGGGUUCAACUACCGUAGCACACAGCAGUUUGAAUCGCGUUGUCUUAAUGCAGUAAAAGAGAGCAGGAGCGAGAACAUGGGAUUGUAUCGAUAUGAUCAAAUGGUUGGUUGCUUGCCUGAUGGUUCGUUGCACGGAUACGGUUCUUCGUUAGGGUAAUCACGGUACUCCUCGGGAACAGAUCCUGUCGCAAAGGACAUCGAUACACAAACAUCACCAAACAAUAUGCAACAAUAUGAUGCAUGCAUGAAACAUGGCAAUAUGAGUGUGUUGGGCUAAUGCAACUAAAACCAGAAGGGUUUGAACAAAUUUGAAUCAAAGAUUCAAAUUUCAAUUUCAAAUAUGGCCUUUUAAAGGGCCUUUCCUUGUUCUGAUUAAAACAUCAACUUAACUUGUUUGAUCAUGCAUGAAAAUGGUACAGAUGGAUAGAUUGGAUUUUUCUGAUCAUUUUUCAUAUAUUAUUUGUCCAAUUUGGAGUUACAGAAUAAAAGUUAUGAAUUUUUGAAGUUUAAAUAAUAUUCUGGAAUUUCCUGAUUUAAUUUAAAUCCAGAAAUAUCAUUUACUGCGUCAGCCUGACAUCAUAGUGACAUCAGCAGGUCAACAGGGCUGGCUCGGGUCAAACCUGACGUGUGGGGUCCACACGUCAGUGUCACAGGGGCUAAUCCCGCGUUGACCCCGGGCUGGUUAGCUUUGACUAAGCCCUGGGGCCCACUUGUCAGCGUCAGUAGGUGGUGGAUUAGUGGUUAAUUAGCUGGGCCACGUCAGCUCGCCGGAGUUCUGGCCGGCGGCGACCAACAGUGCGGCGGCGAUAGUGGUUUUGGUCGUUUCGGCCACCAAAUGGAACGUGGCGACCACCGGAGUGAAGCUGAGGACGACCCGCGGCUCUUGGCGGAGUCCGUUGGGGUCGGGGUGGCCGGAGUCGACGGCGGCGAGCUCAGCUGUGGCCGCCGGGGUUCGGUCGUGCACGGGAGUGGUGCUGGAGCUCGAAGUUGAGCAAAGUGAGGCGCUAGGGAGGCUCUACUGGGUUCUGUGAACGCGUUGGACUCGCCGGGGUGACCAAGUGGUCACCGGAGCUGCGUCGACGGCGAGCUCGGCGACGGCGGAGGUUCGGCCGAGGUGGGGAUGCAGCUACGGUGAGGGAACGAGGGAAAGAAGAGGGGGGAACGGUGGCGUAGCUCACCGCGGUUGCAGUGGGCGUCGAAGCGGGCUCGGGGACGCGCUGGAGACGGCGAAUUCGUCGGCGACGGUGGUCGGAGUCCGAAGAGGGGAACGGCGACGUGGCGGCGAUGCAGGGCUUCCGGGGACUCGUGGAGCGGUGGGGAGGAAGAGGGAGUCGAGGCGGAGCUUCUGAGCUACUCGGGGGAGCGAGGGGUGGCCGGAGUCAGUGGCUACGGCGAACGGCGGCGACGGUGGUGUUCGGCCGAGAGCGAGAGAGAGCGAGGGAGAAGCGGGGGAGAGUGAGAGGGAGCAGGGGGGAUCGGGACGGGCUGCGGGCGUCGUCCACGCGGCCAGGGGGGCGUCGGCAAGCAGGAGGUGGCCGCGCGGCCGCGCGCGCGCGAGCACGCAGCAGCUUCGGGGCGUGGGGAGGAAGACGACGGGGAGCUACAGUGCUGGGCUGGCUAGCUGGGCCGGCCAGCUGGCUGGGCCGCACAGGUAAGUUUCUCCUCUCUUUUCUGUUUUCUGUUUUAAUUAAUAAUUCUGCAACUUUGUUGAAUUAAAUAAAAUACCUAGGCAACUCCAAAAAUCACCAAACUACUCCUGGUCCAUAGUUGGAAUAUUUCCAACAUGAAACAUUUUAGUUUGGAGAUAUUUGAGCAUUAAAAUAUUUUAUAUUAUUUUAAAUGCCCAAAUUCAAAUAGUUAUGAUUUAACUCAAGAACCCUAGGAUGGCCUAGAAAAGUGUGCACCAUUUUUGGCAGAGGUUCUGAACCAAGGCAAAAAUGAUGGGCAUUUUAGAAGGGCAUUUCAGGUUCAUUGAAAAUUAUUUUAGUAAACCCUAGUUGGUUAUCAGAGGGGACUGGGGGUUCUGUCAUCCCCAUUUCAAGUUUCUGAUGCAAAAGUAAACAUGAUGCAACACUCUAAUGCAUGACUAGCUAGGGUGUGACAGAAUAUCCUUCGUUGACCGUGAGAGCUUGUGAUGGGCUAAGUUGGGACACCCCUGCAGGGUAUAAACUUUUGAGAGCCAUGCCCGCGGUUAUGGGCAGAUGGGAAUUUGUUAAUAUCCCAUUGUAGAGAACUUGACACUUAACUUAAUUAAAAUGAAUCAACCGCGUGUGUAGCCGUGAUGGUCUCUUUUCGGCAGAGUCCGCGAAGAGAACACGGUCUCGUGUUAUGCUUGAACGUAUGUAGUUUCAGGAUCACUUCUAGCUUCUUGACUGUGUGUUGCUUCUCUUCUCGCUCUUAUUUGCGCAUGUUAGCCACCAUAUAUGGUAGUGCUUGCUGCAGCUCCACCUCACUACCCUUUCCUACCCAUAAGCUUAAAUAGUCUUGAUCACGCGGGUGUGAGAUUGCUGAGUCCUCGUGACUCACAUAUACUUCCGAACAGUUGCAGGUGCCGAUGAUACCAUUGCAGAUGACACAAUUGAGCUCAAGUGGGAGCUCGAUGAAGAUCUUGGUCGUUGUUUCAUUUCGAUUUCGGAUGUUCAGUAGUGGAGCCCAGUUGGGACGAUCGGGGAUCUAGCAUUUGGGGUUGUCUUCUUUUAUUUUGGUUCCGUAGUCGGACCUUGAUUGUAUUCUGGAUGAUGUAUGUAUAACUUGUAUUUGUGUGAAGUGGCGAUUGUUAGCCAACUCUUUAUCCCAUUCUUAUUUAGUACAUGGGAUUGUGUGAAGAUUACCCCUCUUGCGACAAACCUACCAUGCGGCUAUGCCUCUAAGUCAUGCCCCAACACGUGGGAGAUAUAGCCGCAUUGUGGGUGUUACAAGUUGGUAAUCAGAGCCAUCCCCGACUUAGGAGCCCCCUGCUUGAUCGAAUCGCUGAUGUUGUUGAGUCUAGAACAAAAUGUUUUGAAUCUUAGGAUUAUAUAUAUCGGAGAGUAGGAUUCUUUUGACAACUCAGUCCCUUCGUCGCUCUGUUGAGGCCUCCUGACGUAGAGUUUUGACUCUUCUCUCCUCAAAUUUCACGAUUUUUUAGGAUCACGCGGGUAUCUUGGAAUCGUUCCGAUAGUCUUGUGAUAAUAACAUUGUUCUUGGUGCCUCCUGACAUUUAUGGGUUGUGGCCGUGUCCCGGGGAGUUGAGCUUCGAGGUGUUGUCGUCACAAUUUUAUCGUUGCAGUUCUGGAAUACCUGAGUUCGCCGACAUCGGAAAUCUCUUUUAUGCAGUUGUUGGUGAGAUAACCUCGACGCCGCCCAGUACUGGGGCGAGAGUUCAAGAGUAUUACCAUAACUCGUAUAACGGAUGCUUUUCGAAGGUUGAGGUAAAUGAUUUCCGAAGGUUUCUUGGUUAUGUGUUGAAGGAUGGAUACAGCUGGAUGUAGGAUUUGUUACUUUUGGGUGAGAUAUUAUGCUUCCCCUGUAUCCCCAACACCUGAUUGCAUAACCAGAAAGUUUUGGGAGUUUAUAAGUGGGAAUCCAAGUAGCUCCUAGAAUAAUCUUUCAACAGACACAUGAUAAGAUAUGGGAUCUAUCAUAUGUUUGUUUCCGGCUUAUUUUGCAAGCCAAUCCUUGCUUUGUUUUUGUUGUGAUAUUCGAGUUGCUUCAGUGUCAAGUGUUGAUUCCAUACCUUUCCUAAGCGAUAUUCUCACAUUUCUAUGUGAAUAUUAAUUCUUCAUGAUAAUCGAGAUUGUCAUGUCAAUACUUUUCAACCGGUGUGUUUCUCUUCAAGUGGAUCCGAUCAUUUUCAACAUUUGCAAGAUCAAUGCUCAGUUAUUCACAACGGUGUUUGUUUCAUCCGUCCUAAGUUGUCUUUGUUUUCCCGCCCUCCCACCCUUUUUCUUCAAGGACUCGGAUUUCUUAUUAAAGUAUCCUUUUAUUGUUGCGAAGCCUCUCCAUUCUUUUAAGUCAAUGUUGAAAGGAUCGAUAUGGUUGACUAGAGGGGGGGGUGAAUAGGCAACUAGCAAUUUUUAGCUUUGCUUUAACAAUUUAAACUUUGCAUUAAAGUAGGUUUUUUAGAUAUGCAACUAAGUGAGCAACCUAUAUGAUGCAACAAAGAUAGGAACACAAGCAAGCAAGAGAUAUAUCACAGAUAAGCUUGCACAAGUAAAGGCACGAGAUAACCAAGAGUGGAGCCGGUGGAGACGAGGAUGUGUUACCGAAGUUCCUUCCCUUUGAGGGGAAGUACGUCUCCGUUGGAGCGGUGUGGAGGCACAAUGCUCCCCAAGAAGCCACUAGGGCCACCGUAUUCUCCUCACGCCCUCACACAAUGCGAGAUGCCGUGAUUCCACUAUUGGUGCCCUUGGAGGCAGCGACCGAACCUUUACAAACAAGGUUGGGGCAAUAUCCACAACUCAAUUGGAGGCUCCCAACGACACCAUGAAGCUUCACCACAAUGGACUAUGGCUCCGCGGUGACCUAAACCGUCUAGGGUGCUCAAACACCCAAGAGUAACAAGAUCCGCAAGGGAUUAGUGAGGGAAUCAAAUUUCUCUUGGUGGAAGUGUAGAUGGGGGCCUUCUCAACCACACCCGAGCAAAUCAACAAGUUUGAUUGGCUAGGGAGUGAGAUCGGGCGAAAAUGGAGCUUGGAGCAACAAUGGAGCUUAGGGUUGGAAGAGGUGGUCAACUAGAGGAAGAAGACACCCCUUCUAUAGCUUAGGACAAAAAUCCAACUGUUAUCCACCUACCAGCCUGCGACCAGCGGUACUACCGCGCCAGACCAGCAGUACUACCGUAGGGCCACGCGUUACUUCUGCUUGCUGACAAGCGGUACUACCGCAAGGCCCCGCGGUACUACCGUGCGGACCCGUGGUACUACCGCAGCAGCAGCAGCUAGGGCAGACCUGUAGCACAAGAGCUGAGGGUGGUACUGCCGCGGGCGCGGUACUACUGCUCCCCCUUGUGGUACUACCGCAAGGCAGGAAAUCCCUAGCCUGGGAAGAGCGCGGAUAAAGAAACAUCCGUUCCUACUUCUGCUGGUAAAUGGAAGAAGCAAAAAUCCGACACAGUACUACCAUAGAGGAGCGGUACUACCACCUGGCAGCUGAUCCAGGCCGCGCACGGUACUACCGCACAAGGGAUGCGGUACUACUGCAGCAGUGCGGAUGUAAAAAAUUACAUCCGCCCCUACUACCGCGAAGGAGCGGUACUUGGCCUGGGGGCCACGGUACUGCGGCUCCAGAGGAGCGAUACUACCGUGGGCACCUGCGGUACUACCGCGCCGAAGUGGGGUACUACCGCUCAACAAGGAGCCGUACUACCGCAAGCACACCAACAACAGUCAGGACAAGGGAAAAGAGGAUCAAUGGACGAUGCUCCAAAGUGCAGGGGAAAGGAGGGGACAAGGAAGAAAACGUGUACGUGAUGAUUCCACCCAAACCUUUCUGAUGCGGACCCCCUCUUGAUAGUACGGCUUUCCUACGACUCAAAUCCACCAAAAAGAAAUGUAGAAAAGAUGCCUUCUUCAACAGUCUUUGAGGGGCACCAAACCGUCUUAUGCCUAGCGAUGAAACGUCUGGGAAACUCAAGGCACACGAUUAGUCCACAAAAGCAUUGUCAUCAAUCACCAAAACACCUUAGGGAUAAAUAUGCCAUUACAAAUGUUCUUAUCCGGUGAUUCUUAGGAAGAUACUAACAGAGCUUCAAGUUCAUCAUUCUUCGUUCUCUUUUCUUCUCCGUUGGAUUCAAUUCAAGCUUUCGGUGUUGAUCAUAUUCCAUUCCUUGUUUCAAAUGUGUUCUCAUGCCGGUGCACCUCUUAAUCAUCCACUCUUGCUAUUCUAUUGUUCCGGAGUGCUGAAGAUGCCUCAGAAGAAUCGUUUCCAUUCUUAAUCCAUUCAAGUUAUUUCAUGGUUGUUAUCUCAUUCAAGCCAUUUAAUUCAACCGGUGCAAUCUCUCUUUUCAAGCAAUCGCUUCAACGGUGUAUCUUUUGAGUGGGCCCUAACCCACAGGUCUUUUCCCAGGAUCUUACCUGACUCUUCUAAUUUUCCAGAGUUAUUUUCAAAAUCAUUUCAAAGUUUGACGUAAGAAUGAAUUUUCAUCAGUCAAAUGCCUUUCUCCAAGAUCUUUCAAAGUCUUUUCAUCGUUGGUUCAACCUUUCUAAUUUUCAUCCCGGAGUAUCUCAACAAUUCAUGGUGGUAUUUCUCAUCGUCAUUCUCACGUUUCUGAAGUUCGAAGAAGAGUUCCUCUUAAACUCUUACCCUUUCUUCCAAAGAUGGGAAGUUCAAGCUUGAUGCCAUCCUUUCAUAAUUGUUUUCGAUUGCGAGAAUCCUUUUCACCCUUCUGGAGCAUUUCAGGAGUUGUUUUCGUUUUUCUUGAUCAUCCAAAGGCCAUCAUUUCAGAAGAUUUAUUCAUUCUCAGCUUUCAGCUCUCAUUCUCCAAAUCUUACUGGUGCAUCUUUCAAGUGUUCUCUAAUCAGUUCAUGAUAUCUUUGUUCUCUUGUAUCUAAAUUCCAUCAAGUAUUUUCAUUCGUUUCUAAUUCUUCCCGAUGAAUUCCUCCUUUGCUUCGCUCUUUUCCAAUUCUUACGGUGGUUUGUUCAAAGAUUCUUCUUCCUUCGUUAUCAUAUCAAUUCAUUCAUUGUUUCAAUCCUUCCGGUGGUUCGUUGAAGACCUUCUCAAGUUUGCGCUAUAUCUAUCUUAAUCCUUUCUACGAGAAUAAGUAGUAUGCCAAAUCCGUUGCUUGAUAUCAAUUUAAGUUGAUGAAGGAUACGCAUAACAUAAUUCUUAUUCUUAUUAUUGUUUCUUCCAAGUGGUCUAGUUUCUUCUUUACAGAGUUGUUCAUCAUGUCACAUUUCUCGGUUCGAGAUACUUCAUCUUUUUUUAUUCCGGAGUUCCAAGCUCUCUCAAUUAUAUCAUCGCGAAACUCCAUCUAAAUCAUCGCAAGGCUCCACCUUCUGUUUUCAACUUCUUUUUCCUUCAAUCAUCCUUUUAUUACCGGAGUUCUUCAUGGAGGCUCUACAUGGUGGUUCGUCAGGGUUCAUUUCAUUCUUCAAUUGUUCUUCAAGAUUUUUCUCAAAGUUGUAAUCCGCCAAGCUAUACUCUAUAAUAAACAUGGUGUUCAACACAUGUUUAGUUUUGAGGAGUUCAAGUAUUCUUCGUCUUGCAUUUCAAAGUGGAAUUCGUUCUCUCUUGUCUUUUGAGGUGGUGUUAUGUCACUCUUGACAAUUUCCCUUUGUGUUUCAUGAUUCACAAGUUGUCCGGAAUGACAUAUUUUAAACCCAUCCUUUUCAUUUCGUUCAUGAGAUCCUUUGCAAGCCAUCAAUCUCUUCAUUUGACUUAUCUUGGGUUAUAUUUCACCUAAAGCUUUCCCUAAGGAUUGUGCUAUUUAUGGUGCUUAUAAAUGACCCAAGUUCUUCAUUUAUCCUUCCGGUGAAAUAAGCUUCUCGUCUCCUUGUUGAUAUCAAUCCAAUCUAUUGUUUUCAUUAGUCGCAGAAUUUCAUCUCAGUUUUGAGAUGUUGUCCAUAAGCCCACGACAAGCUUAUCCUUUCGUUGUUGAUAAUUUUGAGUUGUGAAGACCAUGUUCUUUCCUUUGAUUAUCCAUUCAACCGGAGUGUUAUGUCAUCCCUUCAAAUUUUUUUCAUCUUAUCAAGUUGUCUUCUCUUUUUCUACCAGAGUGAUGUCCAAAUUAUAUCAUUCUUAUGCCUUCUCUAUCUUGUUUUAACCGGAGUGUUGUGUCAUCUGCUCAAGUUCUUUUCGUCUUAUCAAGUCUUGCAUCUUGUUUCAAUCAGAGUGCUUGCAUCUACUCCCCGUCCAUAGCAACCAUUUUCUUAUGUCUUUCAACCUACAAGGUUCUAGUAAUGUUCCUUGUUCCUUUUUUCUAACGGAGUGUUUUCAACUUUGUUCAUCUUCGCUGUUUUCUUCUUUAAAUUUGUUCAACCUCGCAAGGUUCUUUGGUUUCACUCGUUUGUCAAAGAAGCAACUUUGGUUUACCUCUUCAUCUUCUAUUUUCCCUCCGGUGCCAUCCUAGAUCUCGGGAAGAGAUCCUCUUGUGGUGGUGGAGUGUUGUAACGCCCCGAGACCGAUGCACCAGGUGUCUUCCAGUUAUUCAUGUGGAGUGCCUUGUCAUAUCUUUGCUUCUUGCACCAUGCUCAUCUCAUUUGGGUAUAUUGCUUUGUCAUGCCCAUCAUCGUCUUAUUGCAUUGCCUCUUGUCAUUUUGCAUGCUAAUCAUAUACCUUGUGGUAAUCUUCAUAUUGUUGCCAUGUGCAUUUCAUUCAUCCUUAUGUGGUGUGUUGUUGUUAUGAUGUGUGUGAGCAUCAUUCCUUGUCAUCUCUCUCUCAAGCCAUACCCAUGCAUCAUCACCUCUCACUUCCUUCUUCUUUCAUGUUUUUGCAAGUGACUUUAUUCCUCCUCCAUUAAUGUUCGUCCUUUCCCUAUAAAUCAUGCCUCUUUCCUACACCCUCUCUGUCAGAUUUCAUCCCAUUCAAAGUUGUUUUGGUCAGGUUCAAAAAUGAUUGAAGUUUGAGAAUAAUCCAAACUCUAAUUAUUUUUCUGAUUUCUAAAAAUGCCAGAGCAAUUUAUUCAAACCCUACAUAAAUCCAGGGUUCCAGAUAUAUAUUUAUAUAUCUCAUUUUCCUAACCAAAACCCAUGGACUUUCCCCUUUGUUGAUUGUUUAUUUAUAUAAACAAAAAAAUAAAAUAAAGGAAAAGGCCCCUUACUUGUUCAGCUACUCACUGGGCCUCCCAACUCCUACGCAGGCCACAAACCUGCAGCUGGGCCGGCCUUUAGGCCCAACUGCCCCACCUACACCUAACACUAGCCUCGACCGACCUAUCCCUCUCGCUCCCCUGCUCGUUCCCACCGCCGCCAGAAGCCAUCUCCCUCGACUCCUCUAGCGCCGCCAGAGACAUGCACGCAGGCGCAGUCCUCUGCUUCGACCCAACCUCAUCCUUUCCCUCGUUCCCUUGUGCCGCCUCCCCCUCAUAUCGAUCUCUCCCUGUCCUCUCGCUCAAGCUAACCACCCCGCGGCCCCGCGAUCUCGCCUGCCCGCACGGCCAUGGCUUAGCCGCCCUCGACCCGGCUCGCCCUCGACGUCCCCUUCGCUGGAGCCCUUCCUCCGCCUCUGCUUUGGCCACCCACAACAGCCAUGCCGCGCCCUCAAGCGCCUCACCUCCCACAGCCGGUCCAGGACCUCCUCGUCGCCUCCUCGUCUACCCGGCGCCACUGACUCGUCAGCUCUGUCGCCAGGGGAGGAGACCCUCGCCAUGUCCCCUUCGGCCCCGACUCCGGCGAGCGCCGCCCUGUCGACUCUCCUCUGCGCGACACCUCCCCUCUGCUGCCUCGUUCCUUUUCCUGCGAUUGCCGUUUUCUUUCCCGCCUUGCCUCACGCGACCCACAUGGGCGCCGCCAUGGAGGCCACCGUGCCGACCUGCAGCUUCGUGCGUGCUGCCUUGCCUUCCUGCUACUUCGUCCGACUUCGGACGACCUCCAUCGAGCUCGCCCGGCCACCUUCGACCUCGGCGUGACCCUGCCUCCACUAGCAGCCUCCUGGAGCCGGCCAUUUCCAUGGGUUCGGGGAGCCCCAAGUCUUGUCCAUGGCCUCGUUGGCUGUUGAUGUUACGCUGUUGGCUUUCUCCAUCGUCUCCCUGGGCUCGUCAAAUCCUGUACCAGGAGCCCAAGCCGGAAGACUCCGUGGAUGUGCAUCUCACUUGUGCCAUUUUGGGUCGUCAAGAACGUUUCGAGAUUCGCCAAGUACCAUUAUGCCCGGAGACCACGGAUCCGUGAAGUUCCACUACCGUCGCCAUGGAUCCGACAAGUUUGUGAGUACGACCACUUACCAUGACGACCUUGUACCACUACCGUCGAUGAAGACAUGUGCACCGCAAGCGUCAAGUUCAACUAUUGUUGACGGUGAAGGGUUUGGAGUCAUCAGGCACCUCUUUGAACGAACAGGAACGACUAUCGUAGCCGAGAUCGCGAGAACCUCUACCGACGACCUCGGAACGUGUACGACGACCGUCGUCGAAGACCCGUACCUCUACCGCUUCCUAAACAUGUACCACGACUUCCAUGACUUUCGUGAACCGCUACUGCCACUACGGUCGUGAACGACUACUUCUGUCGACGAACUCGAUACGCUUCGAAAACGCACGCUUCGAAGGUAUAGCCCCGAGACAACCGUCCGAGAAUGAUUGCUUGUGUUGUAUGAGAUGCACCGGUUGUCUGCACUGUGUCGGUAGUGUCUCUCGCUUCCAUGCUGUCGACACUUGGGACACCCAGUAACCGGGAGGACCCCACCUUCUAUCGCAUGUUACGCUCCCGUCACUUUUCCUUUUGCACCGGUAUCUCCGUGAGCUAUCGGAACCGGAAUGUUGCCGUGGCACCAUUUCCGUCAUUGUCAUGGCACCCCAUUAUUUCCACCACGGUGACAAAUGUUUCAUAAUUCUCUUAUCAACAUUUUCAUAAAAUUGAUUAAACUUGCAUAUGCCAUUCGCAUCAUGAUAAUAACAUUUAAAAUGUUUAAAAUUGUUGUUUGCAUUAAAUUGCUAAUGCAUAUAGGGAUUUACUGGAAUUGUUGUUUGUUGUUUCCGGCCUCAUUUAAACUUGCCUAAAUGUUUAGUUUACUUAGGCUCCACCUCUUACCAUGUUUAAACAACAUUUAAUUUUGUUGAGUAGUUUAAACGGGAGAGAACUAAAUAAUUAAAUGUGGUGUUGUCGGUGUCAAAACCGGCGGAUCUCGGGUAGGGGGUCUCGAAUUGUGCGUCUAAGGCGGAUGGUAACAGGAGGCAGGGGACACGAUGUUUUACCCAGUUCGGGCCCUCUUGAUGGAGGUAAAACCCUACGUCCUGCUUGAUUUAUUCUUGAUAAUAUGUGUAGUACAAGAGUUGAUCUACCACGAGAUCAGAGAGGCUAAACCCUAGAAGCUAGCCUAUGGUAUGAUUAUAUGUUGUCCUACGGACUAAAACCCUCUGGUUUAUAUAGACACCGGAGGGGGCUAGGGUUACACAAGGUCGGUUAUAAAGGAGGAGAUAUCCAUAUCCGUAUUGCCUAGCUUGCCUUCCAUGCCAAGUAGAGUCCCAUCCGGACACGAGACGAAGUCUUCAAUCUUGUAUCUUCAUAGUCCAACAGUCCGGACAAAGGAUAUAGUCCGGCUGCCCGGAGACCCCCUAAUCCAGGACUCCCUCAGUAGCCCCUGAACCAGGCUUCAAUGACGAUGAGUCCGGCGCGCAGUUAUUGUCUUCGGCAUUGCAAGGCGGGUUCCUCCUCCGAAUACACCACAGAAGAAUUUGAAUACAAGGAUAGUGUCCAACCCUGCAAAAUAAGUUCCACAUACCACCGUAGAGAGAAUAAUAUUACCACAAAUCUAAUCUGCUGACGCGUUUUGGCAACAUGACAUCAUUCCAUGGCCCGGUGAUUAUUCGAACCUUUUUUCUUUAACCAGCCCCGCACAUAAUGCGAGGCGGUUUCUUGACACGUCUUGUCAAAGCAGAGAUCGUGUCCCCCUCAUUAUGGGAUUCUCAUCAAUACGGGCGUGGGUAACCCAAUCGCGCCACCAAUUAUGGCGCUUGGGGGAUAAGCGAGUUUUACCAGGCUAGUGGGGACGCAUAGUUUCGUCCGCCCUUAUAAAGGGAUAAGGUUUAACCUUCUUCUACCCACACCUUCUUCCUCCUUGCUCAUCCAUUCGCGUGCACUCGAGCUCCAACGCCCAAGUCCACAUCCUUCUCCUCAACCUUCUUCAAACAUGUCCGGAGCGGGAGGCAAGUGGAUGGCUUCCUCCGUUACGGAGGGACACAUCAAAAAGCUGCGCGGGGCCGGAUACUUAGCCGCGGAUAUCGCGCAUCGGCUGCCCGCUGCGGGGCAGAUCGUCCCUACCCCGGAACCUCACGAGAGGGUAGUUUUCCUCCACCACUUCCUCCGCGGACUGGGGUUUCCCCUCCAUCCAUUCGUCCACGGUCUUAUGUUCUACUACGGGCUGGACUUCCAUGAUCUGGCCCCGAAUUUCAUCCGCAACAUUUCAGCAUUCAUCGUCGUGUGUGAGGCUAUCCUCCGCAUCCGUCCCCACUUCGGCCUGUGGCUGAAAACCUUCAAUAUCAGCCGAAGGUGGUGGGCGGCCAGCAAGCGGAAUGCGGCGGAGCCAUGGUGGGCAAGAUGACUAACGUUAUAUGGCUCGAGGGCUCCUUCGUGGAGACCAUAAAGGGGUGGCAAUCGGCGUGGUUCUACAUCACCGAGCCGCGCGACACCAACUGGGUGGCGGUCCCUGAGUUUCGAUCCGGAAUCCCCAUGCGGCUCACUUCCUGGAAGGAGAAGGGCAUGUCCUGGGGUUCAUCGGUGGAGCUGGACGGACUCUAGAAAUGUAUCCGGAACAUGGCAAGCAAGAAACUUAAGCUUGUCAACAUAGUCCAAGUCAUGCUCUUCCGCCGGAUCCUCCCGUGUCAACAAUGGGAUUUCAACUUAUGGGAGUUUGACACGGCCCGGCACCAGACUCUAAGCGAGCUCUUCGACACGAUGCACAAAGACGUCUGGAGGGUGAUGUUCAAGGGCACCGAGGUCCCUCCCUCUCUCAUCGAGGAACGCGGUCUAAGCGCGAAGCGCCCUACGAAUCCGGUAAGUUCUGUACAUCUGGUAGGAUAUUUACUUCCCAUUGCUUAACCACGUGCAGGGUCUAAGCUCCCAUGCCUUUGACAGGACUGGGUGGAGGCAUCGGAGCAGAUCGACUGUCCGGCCCCUCCGCCCAAAGAUACUGCGAAUGCUCUCCUGACGGAGAUGCUGACUCCGGCUCCAUAUAAGGUGCCGAAGAAGACUAAGAAGAAGGCCAAGGGAACCCGAAAGAGUCCCCGGCGCCAGGUGGUAUCGGACUCAUCGUCCGAUGACUCCGCGACGCACUCCUCCCAUGAAGACGAGGAGGAAGAUGAAGAUGCUCCCCCUUCAGCUGGGGGAGACAAGAAAAGGAAGGCCGCCCCAACCGGGGUGGGGGGGGUGGGCGAAGGGUCCAAGAAGGGAAGGACUCUCCUUCCGGACUGCUCCACCACCGCCGCCGAUGGCGAAGACGAGUGGCUGCUCAGGGUCAAUCCCCUGGCGAAGUCGUAAGUAUUCGGAUACUAGAGUAACUCAUAGCAUACCUCUGUUGCACUGCUUCUCCUAAUGUCGAAUAUUAUUAUGCAGACCGCCCCAAGCCCGUAUCGACGUAUCCUCGUCGGACUGCUCCUUGGACUCGUCGGAUAUGGAUAGUGAUCCACUCCCGACCGCCACCUCCCCUUGCCCUACGGACAAUGCCGAGGUAUUGUCUCAAGAGGCACCAGGUCGAGGGGAGACAGUCCCGGAGGCACCCCAAGGCGACCUUCCGGACUCCGGGAGCAAAGGGAGUAAGGCUCCCGAGGGCUCCGAGUUCGGCCUUCAGCCGAACACUGCGCCAGAACCUCCAGUGGUUCCGGACUCGGGCAGGUGGCCUCCUUCCAACAGGGGCAAGACGCCCGUGCCGGUGACCUCUGUCCAUCCAGAGGCACCGGACAACCUUCUGGGAGCGCUUUGCGGUGCUUCCAUCGAUGAAGAGCCCCGCACUAUUAUGAGUGCGGUGAUCAAGAAGGUUCAGUCUGCUAAGAGCGGACUGACUGAAGCCUAUGCCAGCCUUCUAACAGGCUUUGAGGUAAGUAUUUAAAAUAUAGGAAAAAUAUUACCGCAUAGACAGUAGCCCCAGAUGCUCUGUUUGGUGUUCACAAAGAAAAGCCGAAUAGAGGAUCAAAUAACAUCUGCAGGAGUCUAAUAUAAGUAUGUCUAUAUGCGUAUGCAGGCUUCGCUGCUGACCUCUGCCGCACUGACUGCGGAGGUCGCCGCACUGAAGCAGGACCUCGAGGGGUCCGAGAAAGAGCUCGGCCUUGCUAAGAGGCAGCUCGAGGAGAACAAAGGUAAGUAAUACCUAGUCUAUAUAUAUAUAUAUAUAUAUAUAUAGAGAGAGAGAGAGAGAGUGACACUAUUCUAAUCCCAGCAUCAAAAUAACUAUUUGGAUCACGGCUGGCCCUAUAUAGGCCCGACGGGGUGUUUCCGAACUCCCGAAAAAUAAAAGAACCGGCCCACACAGUUGUCCUCCACCUCCCGUUCCCCACAUCUCCCACGGACGCAGAUCCACCCCGCGCGCCCCCACACCCGGACCGCUGGCGAACCACCGCCCCCGGCACAUCGCGCCUCCCGGCCGCCUCCUCCCGCAACCGCCGCAGCGGUUGCCUCCAUUCUCAACCGCCGCUCGGGCACCUUGUUCGGGAUCCCGCCGCCACCCUGUGCACCGAUGAGCUACAGGACCCCGCUGCCACACCGCGCGUCGUCGGCCUCCCGAAACUCGCCGCCACCUCGUGCGUCGCCGGCCUCCUGAAACCCGCCGCCACCCAGUGCGUCGCCCUAUGUCGCCACCACAUCCCCGUGAUGCGCCAUGCAUAGCUUCGUGCACUGCUUCCCUUUCCUCCCCCACAACUUGGCUGCAGCUUCCCCACCCUCGGCGUGCGGAGUCGUCCUCUCGCCUCUAUCAACCAAAUUCCACUAUCACCAUGGUGUGAUACCCUGUGUUGCCAUUAUCGCGUGGUCGCUUCAUCAAACUGACGUCCACCAUGCCGACCUGUUUUGACACGUCGACUGACGUGGGGGCUUCAUUGUCACGAUGCCGAACUACUCUGUUUCCUCAGCUGGACCGGGGGCUUCCCCUCGGCACUUUGGCACCGUCAUGCUAUCACUUUGUCAAGCCGAGCUCUUCGCUCGGGUACGUCAAGACUAGUUUGGGGGUUGGGACCUUGAGCCGCUACAAGCUCGGCCCACGUCACACCAAGCACAUUAACCAGCUAAGUCGCUUUCAUGCUCAAAAAAAUUUAAGUUUUAAAUAUUUUUUUCGGUUCGACCAAGCAUUAUACUUUUUGGACAAAAAGUCGUUUGCGAAAAACUUUCUUUGUCAAAACCUUGUUUGUUACAAACAAAUUCAAUUAAAAUACCCCGUUUAUUUGGGGGAUUCUUUUAUGAAGCCUCUCCUCUUGCAUAUGAUUAUACUUGUAUGGCUUCGUUCCUUAUUCGUGUAUUACGCCACAAUAUGCACCAUGUUGACUUAUGUGUUCCGCAAGCUGGGUUGCCUUGCUCCUGUGUUUACCCCUACGUUCCCAAUUGUUCGGCUGGGGAGUAAAGGGAGCACCUCUGCGAUUGUCACGAUCGGGUCAUCCGAGCUCGGACCUCAGACUGGGUGAAGCCGAAAGCUAGUGCUCUUAUUGUUUUCAACCAUGGUCGGCACACAACGGAACUCAUGAAUACAAAAAAUCUAUUGCACAAGUCUCAUAGUAACAAUGAGCAACCGAAGAAAGGUACCGAUGGAGGUACUAUUUUCUUCGAAGAUGCUUCUUACACUUCAUCAGUAAUAUAGCAUAAGUUCCCUGAGCGCGCUUUGUCUGUUAUAGCCUUAUGGCCUGAUUGCCUGGUUAUCGGAAACACCGUCGAUAUUCUCGACAGGUGGAGUACAUAACACUUUUCGGCCCUUGUCCAAAGAGGGAGAAGCCGACGGUCGGUUAAGACGCAUUUAAAGUUUGGAUGAACACAUAUAUGAUAUAAGUACUUCGGUACAUACAAUCAUUAUACAUAAAAUUCUUUUACCCAAAUCACUUGGGGGCUCUUAAAUUAGUAUGAGUAGUUUUGUAAUAGAUGUUUUCUUUUUAGUCGUUGCAAAAUCUUUUUCUACCACUCCUUUAUCGACUCAAGUGUAUGAUCAAUAGCCGGGUAGCCUGGUUUCUCUCUAAAGCCGCUCGUGUUUAGUUCGCUAAACUGGCCUGAGAAACACUCCGCCUUCGGGAUAGGGAGGUUGAAGCCGAGGGCUGACCCACUUGAAGUCUAGAGAUCAAAUGUGUCAUGUCAAAGCAUGACGGAAGUACAAUUUUAAGACCAAUUUCUUAUUGGCACCAAAACAGCUUGAUUCAAUCUAGACGCAAAGUUUUUUACGCAUGUUUUUAGCCUUUGGGCUUAUAACAUCUUUUCACCUAUUUUAUGUUUUCCUUUCAGGAAGCAGGACAUUCUCUUGGUUGAGGUUUUCGGCAUGAAACUCUUUUCUAAAACUACAGUUCGACAUCUUUUCUGCCGAACCCCACCUCGGUAUUGUCAAAACAUACAUGACAGUUGAACUAGUUCCCGAGGAGCUACGAUCCUAGGGUCGGCCAUGUUGCCCAACCCAAUUCUCGGGGGGGGGGGGCUACUGCAUUGGCAAUCCAAUGCAGAAAAUUUAAGUGCAAUAUAGUUUUCGAGGAGAUUAUGAUCCUCAGGUUGGUCGGCCGCACCCAACCCGAGUCUCGAGGACUUUGCACACUACUUUUUGUGUCCCGAAGUAUUCUGCCGAGCUAAGAGUUGAUCCUCAGGCCGAUUUUGCGAAUCAACCUGAGUCUCAGGGGCUACUGGGAUCAGCGGUCUUAUGUCAUCCUUCAGGUGCAUCUCGGGUUUUAGACCGAUACACACCUUGAGGGCUACUGGCUAUAUAUCUCGGGAGAGUAUAAAUUGCACCAAUCAAAAAUAUUAACAAAAAAUCGGCCCGCAGUCGGGGUGGUGCACCACCUCGGAAGCAGUCCGGCAUAAAGCUCGGGCGCCAGUGGCUGGCUCCAUAAAGGGCAUUUCCGGCAUUAAGCUCGGCUAAACUCCUUCAACUUUUUUUGAACCAAGGUGAUCUAUGGCACAUCGGACACAGUCCAGCGUUGGAGCUUGGACACAGUCCGACAUUGGAGCUUGGACACAGUCCGACGUUGGAGCUCAGAUAAAGCCCGGCGUUGGAGCUUGGACAUAGUCCAGCGUUGGAGCUUGGGUGCAUUCCGACGUUGGUGCUCGGGUGCAAAAGAUACCUCGAAUGUAGUUCGGCGUUGGAGCUCAGAGGCUGCCGCCCGGGAACAACUUCAAACCCAAGGUGUGGCAUAAAAAUAAAAAGGCAUUGAUAAAGGCCGCAAACUUAAAGGGGCUCCUUGGAUACCCGACGUGUAAACUCUUCGGAUGCACUUCGGCGAUGCUCAAGAUCGAAGAUGAUAAGAUUUGUUGAACUAGUUUUCAAGACCAAUGACCGAAGAUGAAGAACAGUUUGGAAGAAUCGAGGUGCGUCCCCAACUUGAAGACCAGUUCAGGGGGCUACUGACGGUGUCCUGGACUAGGGGGGGUACUCACCACGUCGUCUCCCGACCAGUGGGUCGGGCCGAGGACCCCCAUGGCGGUUCACUAUUGGGCCAGUUCGGACAGCCCAUGUCGUAUACAAGGGAGAUCCCACAAAGACUUGGCGCUCAAGACGAGGACUCUCCUAAACCCUAGGCAUCUGGUGUGUUAUAUAAACCGAGGCUAGGCUAGUCAAUAGACAUCUCAUAUUCAUUACUACAAUCUCGUGGUAGAUACUUGUAUUAUGUACUAUCCCCAUAUGAAUACAAUCAAAAGAAGGAUGUAGGGUUUUACCUCCAUCAAGAGGGCCCGAACCUGGGUAAAACCCCAUGUCCGUGUUACCAUUGCUCCAAGACGCCUAGCUUAGGACCCCUACUACGAGAUAUGCCGGAUAUAGAAUCGACAUAGCCCAUGCUCACUUUUUGCUCAUCAUGACUGGAAAAUACAAAUACACAUGUCCAGAACAGUAUGACCGAAUCAUCUCCGUUGAGCUCCCUAACAAGCACAAGUACCCAGAGUUAUACAAAAUGGUAAUCAAACAUAUGAUGCAUGAUCCUUGCGGUGCAUUGAAUAAAUUUUUUCCAUGCACAAAGAAUCGUCCGUCAUGCAAGAACAAUUAUCCAAGGCCAUUUAAUGAAACUACAAUCCAAGGAAAGGACUCCUGCCCACUGUAUAGGAGACGCAAUGAUGGUCGAACUGAAACGGUACGAAAAUGCCAACUGGAUAAUAGGUGGGUGGUUCCUUACAACCCAUAUCUUUUGCGGAUGUUCAACUACCACAUAAAUGUUGAGAUAUGCUCGAGCAUUAAAGCCGUUAAGUACUUGUUCAAAUACAUCUAUAAGGGACAUGACCGAGCAUCUGUAUCUGUAACUGACAAAGUGGACGAAGUUGAAAUUGACGAGAUUAAACAGUAUAGAGAUGCGCGGUGGGUGACACCUCCGGAAGCACUAUGGAGAAUAUAUGGCUACGAAUUAAGCAAAAUACACCCACCAGUCUUGCAACUGCAGCUACAUCUUCCAAAUUUGCACAUGGUUUCAUACCAUGGCAUGGAAAAAAUAAAGAAUAUUAUCGACCGUGAUGGCACAUAAAGAUCAAUGUUGACCGCGUACUUUGAAGCAAACAACUUACAUGAGAAAGCACAAGGCAUACUAUACAGAGACUUUCUGGAAUAUUAUACUUGGAAAAUACAAGGGAAGUUUUGGCAGGAGAGGAAACGAGGCACUGUCUUCCAGGUUGGCAGGAUGGUCUCGGCACACCCGGCUGAAGGAGAACAAUAUUAUCUUCGAGUACUCCUAAACCACAUUCCAGGCGCCACCAGCUAUGAAGACCUACGAAUAGUCAACAGACAAGUAAUGCCAACCUUCCGUGAAGCUGCAGAAAAACGGGGGCUCAUCGAGGCAGACAACACACUAGAUGACUGCAUGACAGAAGCAGAGUUGUUUCGAAUGCCAUCAUCACUACAAAGGAUAUUCGCGACAAUCUUGGUUUUCUGCGAACCCAGUGACGUACGUGGCCUAUGGAACAAACACCUUGAUGCAAUGUCAGAAGACUACAGCAGAAACUGCAAAUGCAAGCACACAAUCGAACAGAUGGUGCUGAGAAAUAUCAGGGAUAUGUUGCACUCAAUGGGAAAAGACAUAGAAUCAUUUCCUCUUCCAGAGAUCGACAAACGACAUGAGACGACCAACGACAUACCUAGGGAGAUCGUUGAGGAGACCUCCAUCGAGGUUGACCCUGAGGACGUAUCGUUGCAUAAAAACCUAAACAUCGAGCAGAGGAAGGCCUACGAUGAAAUCCUAGCCACAGUUGACCGCCAAAGAGGAGGUAUAUUCUUUGUCGAUGGGACGGGAGGCACAGGAAAAACUUUUCUUUAUAGGGUGCUCUUGGCCACAAUACGCGGACAAGGCAAGAUUGUCGUGGCAACGACCACUUCCGGUGUUGCUGCUUCCAUAAUGCCUGGAGGGAGGACCGCACACUCGAGGUUCAAGAUUCCACUAAAAAUAGAUGAUGGAGCUAUUUGUAGCUUCACAAAACAGAGUGGGACAGCAAAGCUACUCCAAGCAGCAUCACUAAUAAUCUGGGAUGAAGCAUCUAUGACAAAGAGACAGGCAGUGGAGGCGCUAGACAAAAGCAUGCGGGACAUAAUGGAUAGACUAGAUCUUCCAUUUGGUGGAAAAACGAUCGUAUUUGGGGGAGAUUUUAGACAAGUGCUACCUAUUGUCUGAAAGGGAACAAGAGCCCAUAUAGUAGAUGCAUCACUACGCAGGUCGGAGCUCUGGAAUUACAUGCGUCAAUUGAAGCUUGUGCACAACAUGAGGGCUCAAACGACCCAUGGUUCGUAGAAUACCCACUACGCAUUGGAAACGGAACCGAGAAGACAAAUGAUGAUGGUGAAAUACUUCUACCUACAAGUAUAUGUGUGCCAAAUAAGACGGAUGAUACCGGCCUGGAUAGACUUAUUGAUAGUAUCUACCAAACGGGAAAUGCUUACCUAAAAGAUCGAAAGUACAUCACGUCAAGAGCAAUUUUAUCCGCAAGGAAUGACUGCGUAGACAAGAUCAACCUAAAUAUGAUUGAUCGCUUCCAGGGGAGGAGAUGGUGUACCACAGCUUCGAUUCUGUAGAAGACGACCCACAUAACUACUAUCCACCAUAAUUCCUAAACACCCUAACCCCAAAUGGACUGCCUCCACAUAUGCUGAAGCUAAAAAAAUUUGUCCAAUCAUACUACUCAGGAACAUCGACCCUGCUAAUGGGCUCUGCAACGGCACCAGACUGGUCGUACAUGGAUUUCAGAAAAAUGCAAUUGAUGCAGAGAUUGUGGUAGGCAGCACUCUGGAAUGCGAGUUUUCUUGCCUCGGAUACCAUUAUGCCCAUCUGACGAUGACAUGUUCCCGUUCAGUUUCAAGAGAAAACAGUUUCCAGUCAGACUCAGUUUUGCAAUGACAAUAAACAAAUCACAAGGCCAGACAAUACCAACUGUCGUCGUCUAUGUGCCUAAGCUUGUUUUCUCACAUGGUCAAUUAUAUGUCACGCUUUCUAGAGCAACCGCGACAUCAGACAUAAAGGUACUAACAGGUACACAUGAUGUGAACAAGGGGACAAAUAAAAAAAAUAAAGGGGACACAUACCCAAAGGAGAAGAAGAAAAGGAAGAAUAGGAUCAGUACAAGCAGUACAUACACAAAGAAUAUUGUCUACACAGAAGUCUUGACCAAAUAAGUAAUGCAAUUUUUCAAUUUUGUGUUUAUAAAUUCAGUUUCAACUUAGUACAUUCAUUCACGACCAACUUAAUAAUUAGUAUUACACAUUGAAUCUCUAAUUUUCUAACCUUAAAAUUACUUCUUGCAUUCUUCAGGACAAUCAAGCUAUCAACUUCGGAGUUAGAAUUCAGAACUACUUGAUUGUCUUGAAGGAGGAUGUCUUCAUGUUCUGAACCACUAACUUAUUCAUUGAUAUUUAUUUAUAUAAUAUGUCCAAUAAAUUAUUAAUUUUUAUUCAAAUAUUUGAUCACUUUGAUGAUCUCUAUUAUGGUUAUGCAAUCUAUAUAUGUAAAUUUACCAACGAUGGGUAGCUAAGGUGAAAUUGAGACUUACCAGUCAAUACAGAGACAUAUUUCUCGCCUUGGAGCUGAUGUUGUUGCACUGAUUUUUCUAAACAUCGCUUUAUCUAAGUCCAAGAAACCUGAAAAAUAUCUGACACAUUGUAAGAAAAUACAUAUCAAUUUCACAUUGUAAGAAAAUAUCUGACAAUUUCAUAAUGGAUUGAAACCCUGCAUAGUGUAGCGUUGCAUAUUUUUGAGGAAAUUGUGAUGCUCUGUUUCAUCAGGAUUAAGAUGCUUGAACAUGUAAGUAGUGUACUAGCGGCCAAUAGAUAUAUUUCUCAUGCUGACUACGUGCUAUCAAUUGUGCCAUACACAUUAUUUAGUAACUAAACAAAAAGUGUCAAAAGCUAGCCACCAAAGCAAAUCUGAAUCUGCUACUAUGCUACUACUGCCACAACUAACCAAGGUUGGAGCAUAGGGAAUAAGCUGCUCCUCCACCAACCGCAUAUAGGGGGUGACGGGGUGGGACUGAAGGAGAUUGGGAGAUCCGGAGAGGAAGUAAAGAGAGAAGAAGGGAAAUGGCACGCAUUACCUUUACAAUAUUGGAGGCAACGUCACGGAAGCAGGCAGAGGCG
This 88017-nucleotide long non-coding RNA is filed under the name Triticum aestivum (bread wheat). RNAcentral's name for it is "long non-coding RNA (TAES_LNC005292)". The record is from RNAcentral. Lineage: Eukaryota; Viridiplantae; Streptophyta; Magnoliopsida; Poales; Poaceae.